GGAUACCACAUAAAGCAAAAUCUUCAUACUCAUGUGGAUAGACAUGAAGGCAACCAAUUUUCUCUUCUUCCACAUAACAACAUUGAAGUUUCCUCCAACCAUCCAAGGUAGUGAUUGAUUGUAUCCUAUAGAAUAAAUAUCAUCCCACAACCUAAAUCUCUCAACUGUUGUACAUUUAGCAUAGACUAGAGUGACCAAGAAUGGAUUCCCAUUAUUGAAUGACAGAUGUAGUGUUAAUUGUUGUUCUGAAUCUGAAACUACUCCCACAUGAAUCCCAUCCCGAGUAAAUAGCCAAAUUUGACCAUUGGAGUUGUAGUUGACAUACUACAUGCACAUCCUUCUUUUGCAUUUUUGAAUCUUCUUAGUGUCUUGAAAUGGUUCCAUCAAGGAAAUUAGGAAAAAAUUGUGGUGUCUAUGUAACAUUUGAACUUUAUGAAAUGCAUUUUGAGUUCUCACAAUCCUUAUAUUCAAAAAUAAAGCUUUUGAUUCAUUGAGAAACACUCUUCUCCCCCUCUUAGCCUGUAUCCUUGUUGUCUUUGAGUCACUAGCCAUUUUACCUUUCUUUUUGUUCCCUCUGGUCAUUAUCUGAGAUAGCCAACUUCCUUACAAAUAUUGUUCUCCAGUUGCUCACUUUCUUCUUAUUCAACAUCUUCAAUACUUGCCUCAUUAAAAUAUUCCCUGGUUAUGCUCCCUUGAAUGGAUGUCUUACCAUUUUCUUGUAAAAUUUGGUGUGAAAUAAUUGCAUGUAAAGCUUCAUUAGGUGCAAAUCUUCUAUUGCCCAUUGUGAUAGCCUGAACCUUAGCUAGAGCACUUGUUUUUUGCAGGUUGCUCUCCUUCUCAUUUGACUUCACCCAUACCUAUUUGAAGUAUAUUUGUAGGAGGAGAUCUCCUUCCACUGGAACCACUUUUUGGAGGGGCUCUUGAUAGGUAGCGUAUCUCAAAUCUGGUUCAUGUUGUUGGUAUGCCACAAUCUCUUUUCUAUGUGUUCUCAUCGUCUGUAUGCACCUCUUCUUUUUUCUUUACACUUUCACUAGAUUGAUUAUUUCUUACUUAUGUUGCAGAUGUGUCUCCUUGCCUGUUGACAGUAGCCUCAUCUUCUAUUGUGUUCUCUUCAGUAAUUGAUGUAUUCUCACUUUGUUUGUUCCUUUUAUUACCAAUGUCCCCAUCUUUUUUACUAUCCCCUUGUUGCAUCGAUGUAGUAUUACUUGUUCAACAUUCAUUUCCUGCUGAUUAGUAAAAGCUCUCGAUCAAGUCUGUAUUGGAUUCAUUACUUUUUUGUUGAUCAUCUGCAUUAUUUGUCUAAAGAACUUGAUUCUCUUUCUCAAUAUGUUGUUUGUCCAUUUUCUGGUUAUCUCCCUCCCUUGAUUCAAUCUGGUGUUCCUCAUCAAUAUCUGUUAAAGCAACAAAGGCAUUCCCACCGUAAGUUUUGCUGGAAGUACUAGCCUUGUCACUUAUGCCAACACCUUUGUUCAUUGUAAAAGCUCUAUUUGUAGGUUCCAGUAUCUUCUGACGAUUCUUCUCCUCCCUUUUCUUAUGUCCUCUUAUUUAUUCUUGUUCUUCAUGUAGUAUUUCAUUACCCUUUGACUGCCCCUUUUCCUCACCAUUAUCGAUCCUUAGCUCUGGAUGUAAGUUUCCACAUUCCUCCUCAUCAUGUCCUUGAACCUUAUAAUGUUUAUAAUAUUUAGACAACAGUUCUUACCGAAUCUUCACUUGCUCUAUCCUUGACACCUUAGUAUCUUCAUUCAUAAUCUCAUUUUCAACAAACUUUGGGAAAUUCGACAUAAGAUGUACCAGAAUUUUAACUCGUGCAGAACUUGAUUUUGUUUUAUUUAUUGUGGCCAUAUCUAAAUAUAAUGGCUUUCCAACUGCUGUUGCCAAAGAUAAUAGAGAUUCCUUCACAAAAAGGUGGGUUUGAGAUCCGGAAAGGAUAUCCAAGUCAAAGCCUGCAUAGUUUCUUCUGCAACCAGAAAUUUUUCAUCAUAAAUAAGAGGCUUUGGGGAAUAUAAAUAUUCGUCCUUAGCCAAUAUGUAUUAUAUUGGACAUUACAUUAAUGAAGUUUUCUUCCUGAUCAAGUCUGAUGAGGACAUGUCUAUUGCAUAAUAGACCUAUCUUACAAUCUCAUUUGAUGUUGCAUUGUUUUUGAAUAAGCAUCCUAAGUUCCUCCAGCUCCGGCCAAUCAUAUGAAAAUUUUCUAACUAUUGCGUCUUGGAGAUUCUCAAUGAUGUUCGUUCUCUUCACUUUACUCUUCGUCCAUAUCAAUCAAGGAAUUUCAUUUGUAUAAGUGAUUGUCUUUAUAGGAAUUGGUUCUACUUUUUUUGUCGAACAGCUGAACGGUUCCCUAAGAACAUUGACAUAAUUCACUUGGAACAUAUUACUGUUAUUGCCAGGCAAAACAAUAGCAGUAGGCUCAAUAGGCAAAUUAGGGUUCACAAUAUCAGUCUUAGUGCUUGUCGAUAGUGGUGGAAUAUGAAGCUUCUUGUAGCAGCAACGACUGGUCAACCCCAAGACUAGGCUGACUAGUGGCCGGAAUAGCCAUUGUAUUGAUUUAAGGUCGAAAAAAGUCACUGGCGACGGUAAGGAGUAUAGACAGUGUUUUUUCAUAAUCAUUGUAAAUGCAAUGUAUCAUUUCCGUUUCUAAAAAAAAAUUGCUACAACCUCUACUUGUUGAGGCAUAAACUUAUUAUUUUGUAUUGGAUACACAAUAGUUAUUAUUUAUUUUUUUUAAAAUUAGUUUAAAAUAAAAAUUGUAUUUCAACAAAAUUUAAUAAAAUAACUAAAAUUGAUGUCUUGUUGUUUUUUUAAAAUAAUCUAAAACAAAAGAAUAUUUCAAAAAAAAUUAAUAAAAUAAUUAAAACGGGUAUCUUAUUAUUUUUUUAAAUUAGUUAAAAAGAAAAAUUAUGUUUCAACAAAAUUUAAUAAAAUAAUAAAAUGAGCAUCUUAUUAUUUUCUAAAAAAUUAGUUUAAAACAAAAAUUGUAUUUGAAUAAUAUUUAUUGAAAAAUUAUUAAAAUUGGUGGAGUGACUUUCUAAAUGAAAUAUUAAUAGUUGUGACUUUAUAGAGAAAAUAUUCAUAGUUGAGUGACUAUGAGAUUAUAAGUGAAAGUUGAGUGACUUUCAGGGAAAAGAAUCAUUAUUUGAGUGAUUUUCUACGAGAAAAAUUCUUAGUUGAAUAACUUUGAAGUUAUAAAAGAAAGCUCAAUGACUUUCUGUGAAAAGAAUUAUUAGUUGAGUGACCAUAUGAGGUAUUAACUCCAAAAUACUGCAUACAUCGUCAACAAUACAUGGUCAGAUUUACAUCCCGGAGAUUAAUUGGACCUUAAUGUUACUAUGCCUGGAUGUUACUAUUGGUUUUCGAGACACCAAACGGAUGGGAAAUGUUGCAGGUAUGGAUAUGAGCUUAUUUUAAAAUGUCUAUGUUGAUUCAACUUCAUUACUGACCCUCAUCCCAAAAUUUUCUCUUUGCAUCAGGUUUGAGAAUCAUAACUGUCAUACUGGUUACCACACUUUCUUGAUUUCAUUGGUAAUUGUUUUAUGUUGACACCAAAGUGUUUUCCUUGCAAUUUUCUUUGUGAGCUUCUUUGGGUCAGUUGAGGCUUUAUAUUUCUCCACUUCUUUGAUUAAAUUUUUGGAAGGAGCUUGGGAAACAACAGCCAUGGCAAUAAGGUCUCUGUUGACAGGCUACUUCAUCAGCUAGGCCCUAGUCUAGACAUAGUAAGGGUCCGCGACAGAGGCAGACUCACCCCUCUAGCUGGGGUGCAUGUGCACCCAUUAAAUUCGAAAAAAAUCAUGUAUAUAUAUGUAUAUCUAUCUUGAGAAACUGACAGAAAUUAGAAUAUAAUUAAUAGUGCACCCAUAAAAAGCAUAGAAGUGACAUUGUGCUACUGAUACAAGCUAGAGGAUCCACCUAUGAGACCUGGGUUCAAAUCCAACUAAAGUGUUUAUUUCACUGUUUUUGUUUUAAGUUUAUCUUAGAGUUCAUAUUUGAGCUAAGAUAAUAUGGGUGCACCCAAAGUUUUCAAAUCCUGAAUAAUAUACAUGCAAUUGCUUAUCUAUAUUACCUUAAAAGUAUGAACUCCUAACUUUAAUGUUAAAUUACUAUAAUAUCUCUAACUUAGGUAAUGACUUUUUUGAUGAGUUGUGACUUUUUCGAUAAGUUUUGACUUUUUUCAAAGGGUUGUGAUUUUUCGAUGAGUUGUGACUUUUCCCAAGAUUUGUAACGUUUUCAAUAAGUUGUGACUUUUUCAAAGGGUUGUGACUUCCUGAAAAGGUCAUGACUUUUUCAGAUAAGACACAAAAAAAUAUGUGUUCAUACUACCCUUUGUUGACUAUAAAUAGAGGGGCUUCCUCUCAUUUUUCAACCACAAUAUUUUUAAUCUUCUACUCUUCUUCUUCUUGCAUUUUGAAAUUUCUUAUGUGAUUUAUUGUCGUUGAGUGAGUUCGAAGUUUAGCGGAUAUGAGGUACCAAUGUUUUGAUGAAGUAAGUCGUUCUAUCCUAAGAGAGUAUAUACCAUAACCUCGAGUACUUGAGGAAAAUAAUUUUGAUGAUAUAAUAAUUAUUUUUUGCUUCAUAUAUACAUUAGUAUGUAAUGUUCCAAUAUAUGAUGUUAACAUGAUGUAGUCUAAAUUCUUUUUUUUCCAACAAUUUCUCUUGUGAUGUAGACAUAUGUUUCUAAAUAUCUUUUCCAAAAUUUAGAAAAUUGUCACGAUUUAUUUUUGAUGCUCAAGACAAAAGAACGACUUUAUUUAUCAAUGCUACUUAUGUGAUUUAAACUCUCAUGGAGUUUGAUUCAAAAUAGUAAGCCCUUUUGUUUUACUUAUUUACUAUUUCUUAAUAUUUUGGUAUUUUAGACGAAGAAAAGUUCAUAUGACUUGUAAUAACACCAGUUGAAGUUUGUAUUAGUUUAAUUUUUAUUAUUGAUUUAAUAGUUAAUUUAUGAGAUAAAUAUUUUUAUUAAUGCAAAUAUAUAUUUAUAUUUGGGUAGAUAUUUGUACUUAAACUAAAGUAUUAUAUAUGUCACAAAUGUAUUAUCAAGUUAACAAAAUCUUCUAACUUCAAAAUAUAUUAUUUUAAAAUGUUCCGCAUUUUUUUUAAUCAAAAACUCAGAACCAAUGUGAAAAUAUGUGAAUAUAUAAAAUGUAGUUGUUCUCUUCACAUGUCCAUAUGACAUCUAAAGAAUUUAACAUGGAAUACACAUGCAAAGCAAAUCUGGUUACAUGACAAGAAAAAUACAAAGCAAAUAUUGUCUAUAAGGUAAUAUUAGUGAGAUAAGACUAAUUAGAUGAUUUACCUCAUCAAAUUGAAAUAAAUGUAUACAUUAUUGCAUUUAACUAAUAAAUUUUUUCUUUGACCAUCUUCACAGGUCAGCGUGAAUAAGAAAUAUAUAUGACGAUCCACGUUAAACAUUCACAAAAGAAUCUUCAAUAUUAUUUUUUGCUAAGCUUAUUAUUCAAAUCUUCGCUUAAAUAAGCAAAUACUAUUUACUAUGUCAUAUAUUUUUGGAAUUGGUAAUCACGUGCAACGCACGUGUCAAAAAACUAGUUUGUAUAUAUGCAUCAAUUGCCUAUAUACAAAAAGUUGUCAAUUGCCUUUAUACGAAUAGUUAUCUACCAUUUAUCAAUUGUAUAUCUUAUACGAUUGAAUCUGUUAAUGAUAUUUACAUACAUUUUAAUUUGAAUAUCAGAUGAUAUAUGUGAUUGUACUUUUUAGAAAUAAUAUACAAUUGUUUAUUUGUAUAUAUGCAUCAGUUGCAUAUACACUAAUAGUUCUCUAGCAUUUAUCGUUUGUAUAUUUUUAUACAUAUAAGAUUCCGUACUUUUUUCUUUAUUCUUGCAUAAUAUAUGUGGCGUAGUAUGGCAUGGUUAUAUGAGGUGUAUAUGACUUGGUAUCAUACAUUGGAGAUUAAGAUUGCAAAUGGUUGGCAAUAUAAAGGAACUAAACUAAAGUUUUAGGUCAAAGGGACCCCUCAAACAAAAGUUCAGGAUUAAAAGAAAUGGCUCGGGUAGAACUUCGCCCGUUUGAAAGGUUUAAAUUAUCUCAUACCUUGGGGAUAAGCCUAUGAGUGUCUAACAUGCUAAGAAUAAUGUGUUAUGAGGUAUUAUAAUAGCAUAAGGGUCGUAUGUUAAGUUUUUAAGUCAAGAAAAUUAACGCAACUAAGGUCGGCACAACUUAUCGAAGUUUCUCUAAUAACAUUUUCUUAACUUUGGGUCAAAUGUCUUUGAUGUUUUCUCCCAAUAUAUAGAGAGUUAGAAGGCCCAUGACCUAUCCAAUCGAAGGUCUACGAGUCUAGGUUGCAACGCACAACACCCCAUAUCCAACCGAUAUUGGAGUAAAACAUUAUUAGGGUUUGACUGCGGAUUGCUGGGGCAGAAUCCAGGUCGGGUCAAAAAUAUGGUAUGUCGGCUUACUCGACAUUUUAAGCCAUGAAAACAUUUCGUUUUACUCCCUAACCAGAAAGAAAGAUGAAGAGAGUGUUCUAUGGAGUUCUUGCAUGAUGAAGGCUUGUUUUUUAUGAUUUCUACCAUUAAAGGUUGUCCCGGUGCCUAGAAACAUGAUCUCUACACGUGGCAAUCGUUCUCCCUUCUAUUAGCUGCAUUUGGAGUUAGUUUUUGAAGAUAUAAAUUGGUAGUUAUUGGUUUUUCUUCAAGUUUUACACUUGGUUUGCUAAGGUAAUCAUCUCGGUACUCUUUUAUAAUUGUUUUUAUGAAGUUCUAUAGGCAUUUCGUCAAGUUGGGACCAUAUGACAAAUCUGCCAAUUUAAGCUCAAAUAUGAAUUGUUUAUAGGUGCGUACCAGCUGUGUAUAUAUAGUGUUUGUGAAGCUUAGGACGUAAGGAACAAAUUUCAUGAAGAAACUACGGGCAUUCGAGCGUUCAUUGGAAUGGUAUGUUAAGGCUAACCUUUGUCCUUCAUUUUAGCACCACUCCUGGGAAAUUCCUAAAACGCCGAAUGUGAUAUUUUUCUAUUCUCUUGCUAGAAAGACCUUCUGUGAAAGGCAUUGAGAUCUCAGCAGAAUUAUUUUCAUGAUUCUAUUAUUUUGAUAUUCCACUCGUUCGGAUAAAUAGAGUAUUUGACAUGUACAUGUCAUUUUAUCGGUUUCCUUGAUUGUAUGUACGCAUGUAUGAAUUCCUAUUCUUCUUUUUAAAAUAUUACGGGAGACCCUUAUUAUUUGUAACCAGCCCUUUUUCCCCACUAAAGUUAUUAUGAAAAAUCUUUAAAGUAACUCACGAUCUUCAAAACUCCCAAAUAUAACUUAAAUGUUUAAACUAAUAGAAUACUUGAUUUUUGAAAUACUUCUUUUAUAAAUUAUCUAGGAACAAAGUAUAGGAACUAAGUAAAUCACCUUAAACUUAUUAUGAAUAUCUGCAAGGUUAAGUUAUCUUUCUAAAAUUCGAGUGAAGUUUUCAAGCUUAUUUGGAAGAACAUAUGAGGUUCCAUGAGAUGGUUACAUGUCAUAGGAAAGUGAUUACGGGGUUAUGAGAACACGACUACAAAUGGGCAAAGAUUGGCAACAUGACAACGAUAACAUAUAUGUGAUAAAUCUACAACAUGACAUGCUAUGCAUUCUACUCCCGAGCUAGAAUUGGGAGAUAUGGGGCCUAUUGCCUAUAUUUAUACAUAUGAGACACCGAUGGCCACAGGUUGGCGAAUAUGAUGUCGGUUAGCUACCGGGAAGCACCACCAUUGCAACCAUUUGGUUGGGUAUGUCAUGCAUUUGCAACUAUACAUAUGUAUUCACGACAUAUGAUUAUACGAGCAUACCGUGCAUAUUUAAAUAGUAAGAGGCUAAAUGUCAGCCAUAGAGAUUAUUUGAUUUUCAGUUUUAGGUGGUAUCUUUGUUACCCUUUUACAGUAAAUAUCUAUGAUUUUACUUUCCAUUUUACAUAUCAGUACAUUUAUAUUCGUACUGACAUCCCAUUGCCUGGGACGCUGCUUUUUGUUUCGUGCGAGCAAGUUCAGUCAAGGAUUCUGAUCGACCCACCCACUAGGAUUCGGGUUCAGCUAUGAGUUAGUAAGCUCUGUCUUAUCCUGGGCUAUCAUAGGAUGGUUACUUUUGUUGUACAGUUUAGGUAUAGUCGGGGCCUUUCCCGACAGUGCUUAUGUCACUCAUAGAGGCUAUUGUGGACAUAAUAUUGUGGGUUUUCUUUUGUAGGUUUCAAUCUCCAGCCCAUUGACUUGGCAUGUAUAUAUACGUGUGUGUAAGUAGGUAUGUAUUCAGUUGUGGCCUCAUCGUCUAGCUAUAAAUCUUAAUUUUUGGCUUGUCUACCAUUGUUUGUAUGGUUUAUUCUCAUUCAGGUCAUGACCUUCAGGGUCCAGACUUCACUUUUCAGAAGUUGUGCUGCCCAAUCAUUUUGUCUCAUAGUUUGGUUAGUUAGUAUGUUUUAGUGGGUAACUCGAUUGAAAAGUCAUUUUUGGUAAGAAAUUGUAAGGAAACACACUUAGCAUGAAUCGUGGGAUAUUUUCCUUUUUUAAAUUGAUUUGUUGCUUCUAUUAAGGGAUUAAUUUGUCAUACCCCGAGCCUACACCCUGAACGUGGCCAACACUAUAGAACUAUUUCUGAUUCCUAAGCAAACUGUUGGCUUGGCUAAAUACUUAGCGGAAGACUCACUCAAGCAAUAAUAGUCUUAAAAUAGAAGUCAAUCUCAAAGUAGAAAGUACUCAUUGUUAUAAUUAAGACUAUUUGCAAAACAUCACAAAAUAAAAUGAAAAUAUUAAGAGACUCCUCAACUCUAACUAUCUAUAAAGCCUCUCAUACUAGGAUAGAUGUCGGGACAAGACCUACGACAACUCAACAAUAACAAAAAAUAAAUGUGAAAUUCUCUGGAAAGCAAGGAGGCUCACCAAAGCUAUUUGAAGCGCAAUGUGAUCUCAACGGCAUGCCUAUUGGUGAUCUUGAAAACCUAUAUCUGCAUCAUAAAAGAUACAGGUCGAAUUAUAUGUGUACAUUUGAAUGUACGAUUAUUUAAUAUAGCCGAGGCGAAAUAACUGAAAGAAAGAACUACAAUAGGUAUAACAUAAACUCAACCGAAUGCAAAGAAUUAAAGGAAUGAAACCAUUUCACUUUACAAUAUACUUUCUCAUUCUCUUAUCUUUAACAUCAUAAGUGAUAUAUAAAAAUACACUUUAACUCUAUUAGGAGAUUCUCUAACUGACAACCAUCACUAAGAGCUAAGUGAUGAUACAACGUCUUAUCUAUGCUGCCAGAAUUGUCUUAUAUCGUGCCGGAAUAUAGAACACCUCAACUAAAUGGAUCCACUAAGAUCUGCCCGAAGGCACUAAGGAUUCAUCUAAAAAAUAUGAUAUUGUACCCAUGUUGGCAAAACAUGGUUUAUGAGGGAUGUGAGUUGUACAAACUUUCCCCCCAUAUCGGUGCUCAAUACUGCUCCCAAUAAUAUAUACUAUUUCUCAAAUGUAUAAAAAUGUUACUCUUUCUCUGUUUUGAGAUAAUUGCUCAAAUUAUCCUCUUAAAAGAGGUAACUACUCUGAACUGUCUUUGAAACACAUUUCUCAUUUAGAAAACAAGAUUUCUAUUUGCUUAAUGUAAAAAUACAUUCUGAAUUGAGUUAAUUACUCAAAAGGGGCCUCUUUAAGAGGUAAGUACUUAAUUUUUCUGAAAACUCUUUUAACUUUUCUCAAAAAAAGUCUACUCUUUUGUUUCAUGUAAAAAUGAAACAUUUGGGAAAAUACUUAGUUCCCUUAUACUCUCUCUCUCAAACUUAGUUUAAACAAUGAUGUUUUGGUUAAAGGAUUCUCAAUAAGAAUUCACUGAAUACUCAACAUAGGGUUCAUACUGAAAAAUAGUCAUGAACAAUCAACUCAAUAAUCACAAUUCACGUUGUAUGACAAUUCAAUAAUUAGGAAUAGGAAUUCAAAACUCAAUAUCAACUCAUUUCAAGAAUACUUAAAACUAAGGAUAGAACCCUAGAUUACUCUUUUACUGACUUAAAAGUAGAUGUAGGGCAUGAGGACGAACUAGUUCAACACUAAGAUAGCCUUAGAUACAUGGAAGAACAAGCUCUUUCGGAAUCGAAGAAACUUGACAAAACGCUUGAACCCUAGCUUUUCUCCCCUUGGAACCUUGAUCUAAUGUCUUGAAGUGUUAGUGAAUGUAAAAGAGCUUAUUAACACUUUUCAAGCCCUUAAUUAAGUCUAAAACAUCGUGAUUUAGGCUUAGAAUAGGGGUUAAAAUGAAGUAGUUUAAGUACCAAACACAUAGGGGAAAGACCAAAACUACCUCAACUUUUAAAACUAAAAACGUGCCUCAAACGGGAGGUUUCACGAACCAUAUGAAGCUUCACGGUCCGUGAAAAUCUUCAUGGUCCGUCUAGUGGGUCGUCAAGUUGCACCUACCCAAUAGGGCUUCACUAAAACGGGCAUCAUAACAUCUUGACAUGAGGCAAACUUGGUGGAGUUGGAAAGAAGACUCAAAGACCUUCAAUUUGAUAGGUCAUGGGCCACCUAAUUCAUUUUGUGCUGAGAGAUAUGAUUCUUUGAAGUUGACCCAAAACUCAAAAACUUAUGGGUGACUUGUACGACACCUAAACCGACCGUGCAAGUCACCACAGGCUAUCUAGGUGAUCGUAACCUUGGCAGCCUUAGACAGUCCUUGACUCUUCUAAUUCGACUCUUUUAAUGUUUUUCUUUUUUCCUUCUCAUUCGACUCUUCUAAAUAUUUUUGGUGGGAGUAAUGACUAUUUUCGGCAAGCUAAAUUUGAAGAAUAUGAAAUAAAACCUACUAUAAAUAAAAGUAAUAUCCUAAGCUACAAAAUAUAUGUCUAUUAACAUAGAUUUGUUGGCCUUCAUGUCCCAAGUCAUUGCUGAGCAUUUGAGUUAUCUAGGUUAGACCCAUUUUUUUAUUUUUUUUCAUGUACGAAAUAUUUCUUUAACAUGAGUCUAGAAUCCAACAUUUGAUCUACUUGUACUUUCAUAAUUCAACAUUUAUACGUACAUAUUUCUGAAAAAAGUCGUAAAGUUUCAUUGAUGAAGCAUUUAGAAAGGCAUUCAGAGCAACAGUUUGAUGAAGAAUGAAUUUCUAAAAGGGUCAACAAUUUAUUUUGUUGUUGUUUCAAAUUUAUUUUUCUCCUUCUAUAAAUUUUGUUAGAGUAACAAAGUAACAAUAACGAAAAGUGAUGAACGUUGGACCUCAGACAAGUAGAUUGUCUCUAAAACUUCAUCGCUACAUAAAAACAUCACUCAAUUUUAACAAGACAAUUAUAUUAGCAAACAUAUAUUAUGAUAAAUUAUGUAAAAGAUAAAAAUGAUUAGAUAUCAAGAUAUUUUUAAUCAUUCAUUUAAUAUUUACAAUUCUUGAAAUAUGUGAUAAUGUCAAAUCAUUUAAUUUCUGUUGAAAUGUUCUUAAAACCUACUAAAAUUCACUUUUUUUCUUUCUUAUAAUAGUCAAUUUUUGAAAAGGUUGUUCAAAAGCUUAGAAAGAUUAUUUAUGCCCACGCGAAGCGCGGGUAAAUUACCUAGUUUCCUUAAAUUUUAAUACAUUUUUAUUGUGGAAUAAGAUUUCUUUAUAUUUUAAUACAUUUUUCUUAAAUUUUAAUACAUUUUCCUUUUGAAAUAAGGUUUUAAUUGAAAAAAAAAAUCCUUAAAUUUUUUAAUAUUAUUUCCUUGUGGAAUAAGAUUUUCUUAUAUUUUAAUACAUUUUUCCUUUGUGGAAUAAGAUUUCUUAAAUUUUAAUACAUUUUCCUUUUGGAAUAAUGCUUUCUUUCUCUAUAAAUAGGAGACCCAUUUACCCAAAUUAUAUCAUAAUAUUAUUAAAAAUAAAAUCUCUAUAAAUCAUCGUUUUUUUAAAAAAAAAUUAUUAUUCAAAGUUUGGACCCCCUUCAAAAAAUUUAUGGCUACGCCAAUGCAUAAGCAUAGUUAAAUGCUUGCACAGGGACCUCAUCGAGAAAACAAACACAUGAGGAAUUGAAGCGUUAGCAUGUGGUGACUUUAUGAAUGCACAACUUAGUUACAUAUUAUCAUAAUGUAAAAGUUGGACAGUGACCGAUUCUAACCAUCAACUUAGCUAAUUUUGAACAACAAUCCACAAUAUAACAACAAGCUUUGGAAAAAAAAAAGAUAGAGCAAAACAAAACAGAACUUAGAGCAAGAUUAAACUAUAUGAAACCCAACGAAUUAGCGACUAACAUCUAAACCAAAGCUUCAAACAUGACAUACUGAACAAUAGGACAAAAACACAAAAUUUGAAAAACUGGAGAAGACGAACUGCUACAUCAACAAACAAUAGAUAAUACGAACAACUAUUUCAUCAGCGAGAAGAGUAACACUUAGCCAUAUUAAAAUGUUAAAACCAUAGGGAAAUCAGAAAAUAAACAGAGGCAACAUGAUCACAAAAAUUGAAAAUUUUGAAACAACAAUAUCACAAGAUGAAGAAGAACUCAGCAAAGGGAAAGGGAUAUUACCUUUAUUUGGGCAGGAACUGGUACAACGAUCUUGAAGGUGACUAACUCACACCACCAAUCGAGAUGAGCUCCGGUGAAUUGCUUGGAAAUAACAGAAAAAAGGUCAUUUUCCUCUACAAAAUCUUAAGCCUCAAAUGCUAUUUUAGCUAUCCAACCCUUCUUUUCAAAAAUCCCCCUGAUAAGUCUUAAUGCUCCCAGAUGUUUUGAUGAUCUCCUCACAAGUGCAAGGACCUGGUCCUCUGUAGAGUAUGCUCGUCCAGGGUCAUAUGUUGUACAGAUGGAAAGAUGUUUGCGUCAAAAAGUUGGUGAAGUCGCCAGUGUACUACACCAACCAGAAUUGACGAGGUCGUUUGUCCAAAGGGUAUUAACUCUUGAUGUUUGAUAUAUUCAAGACAAAAACAACCAACAACUCAUUCAUUCAAAGAGAGAUAUUCAAGCUUCAAAAUAGCAGGGACCUGAUAGAUUGCAUUAUUGUUUCAUGUACCAACUGUUGCUUUUGACUGCUUGUAAUUGUGUGUAUAUUGUAGGAAUCGUUUCGCUUGUGAUGAAAACGUUUCAAUCUUGGGUGAAUCAUUGUAAGAACUUAGUUAUGGGUAACUUAGUGUCUUACGUCAAAGUCUAUAUUAAUCAGUUAGGUUAGUAUAGUGGGCAGUGUUGUAUCUGGUUAGGCUCGUUUAAGUAAUAAGUGGUAUUACUUAGUGUGGAGAUUACCAGGUUAAUCCUAUGUUGUAAAUUGUGUUUUACUUUUUCUUGUGAAUUUUAGUAAAAGCAGUUUGAAAAUCCCUGUGAGACAGGUCGUGGUUUUACUCCCUUGAACAAGGAGGUUUCCACGUAAAGUUAUGUGUGCAAUCUUUACUUUCAGCAUUUAUUUACUUUCUGUUAUUGUAAUCAUGUUGAGGACCUGGUCCUGUCGUAACUAGUGGACGCAUACAUUCCAAUAAGUGGUAUCAGAGAUUGACUGUUCGAUUUGGGUAAUACCAAGAAAAGAAAAGAUCCUGAAGGAAUGGCUGCUCCACGCAAUAUUGAAGAAGGUCAGUCAUCUACCAGACCACCCCGCUUCAAUGGACAAUACUAUUGCCGCGCCCCAUUUUUCUCAAAACGGACUUUUGACCUAACAACUCUUUUGGGCUUUUGGGUAGAUUGAAGAGUCGUCACCUAACGAAUUAAGGCGCGUUAGGGAACCUAUCUAACCUAGCUAAAUCUAACUACGGUCAAUGAACCAGAGAUCAGGGUAAGGGUUCAAAUUACCUCGAGGGAAAUGUGUUAGGCAUCCCUCGAGGUCCACAAAUGUGGGUCCCAGCAGUAUCUCAUGCAAUUUAUGUGGGGGUUACAAGUAGCAAUUAAGGUCACUUCAUUUAUUUAGGCUAUUUAAAUUAAACGUGCUUACUAAGUGAUAACAUAAUAUUUAACAAUUAAAAUUACUUCAUUUAAUUAAUUAAACAUGCAAAAACUAGGUGAUAACAUAAUAUUUAACAAUUAAGAUUACUUCAUUUAAUUAAUUAAACAUGCAAAAACUAGGUGAUAACAUAAUAUUUAACAAUUAAGAUUACUUCAUUUAAUUAAUUAAACAUGCAAAAACUAGGUGAUAACAUAAUAUUUAACAAUUAAGAUUAUUUUAGUUAUUUAAUUAAUUAGUUAAUCAUGCAAAACUAAGUACUAAUAUAAUAACAAAUAAAUAUUAAACAACUAAUAAAGAGAUAAGCGAGGACACAGAAAUUACACAAGUAAAUAAGCAAACAAUUUUUUAUAUUUUAUUUAAGCUACCCCAAACAAUUAUAAUUAUAAACAAAUAAAGGGACAAAAGGAAAGGGAGACUCUGAAGGACUUUACGGAUCAGCGCUCGGCUUUAAUUUUGAGACAGACAAAACAAAUGUUUGUCGUUUACGGCUUGAGGCAAUGUCAUCAUCUCCGUAGGGCCUAGACUACCCCUACCCCAGCACCACAUGCUUUUCGUCUUUAAAAGGUGCCUAGCGUCCCCGCUUAAGGUCCAAGAGGCAUUGGACUACUAUUAGGGGGUUUUAGACUUAAAUAAAAUAAAGGUUCCUAAUAGGCCCACCUAGACACCAAGUCAAACAAUUUGGACAAGCAUUUAGCACAUAGAGUCUCAUAUUGACCUCUAGAUUUUAUUUAGCAUGCUAGCAAACACACAUAAGGUGAAAGGUCUCAUACUAAGGUGUGUGAAUAUAUAAACAAGUAUUGCAGCAGUAAAAUUACUUAAUUAAGAGUGGCAAAAAUUAUUACAGAAUGCAGAUUUAAUUGAUUUUAAAAUAUAACAGAAAAGUGAUCAACAUAUGAAAAAUCAUUUUAGAACAGUAGCAGAUUUUAUUUAAUUAUUGGCACAGAUCGGUCAAGAAUAAAGGCAUAUAUUUUUAAAAACAGGGGCAGAUUCAAUUGGUAAUUAUUCUCCACAUGGACAAAUUAAAGAUGUGCAUAGAAAUAUUUAUUUUACUUGGCAGGACAAUGUUCAAAAAUGCAGAAGAUAAUUAGAUCAGGCAGAUUUUAUUUCAGAUUUAAGAUCAGACGAUUUACUAUGCUGGUUUCUCUUUAAUAUGCAGAAAACAGUCAUACAAAUUGAUUUUAUUUAGUUAUGACAUGCUUGGAAUAGUUGGUUAAUUUUAUCUCAAGUGGCACAACAUGAAUGUAGUGCAGAAAUGAUUUAACAAUGAGCAAAACAUAUUUGCAGAUUCAUCUUAUUUUUUUAAACAUGUUGGACAUUAUUUAAUAGCUCCUAUGAACAUGAUUUCUAAGUGAUUAAUAUACUGACAAAUAUAAACUAAAUAAUUAACAUGCUGCAAUUUAUUAGAUCAAAUUAGCAUAUCAAUCUAAUUAAUUGAGUCCUAUAGGCAUGAUCUUCUAAGUAAUGGCACAAAAUCUACAACAUGUAGGCAUGCUUUCUAUACCAAAAUAACAUAUUAAAAAUUAUUUAACCCCUAUAGGCAUGAUAUCUAAAAUGGCAGAACAUUCCAAUACAAAAAACAAAUUCAUGCUGGAAGUAGUUAGUUACAUUAUUUUAAGUGGCAAAGAUAUAUUACAGAUUCAGAAAAUACUAACAGUUAGCAUAAACCAAUCGUAUCAGGGUUGUUUCAGUUAUUUAGAAUGCUGGAAAUAACAAGCUGAUUUGAUCAAUCUAAUUAACAAGGUCUUAUUAGUGGAAUCCUAUAGGCGGGGCUUCUAAAUAUGCAAAUGUUGAAGUUGUGAUUGAUCCUAUAGGCAUGAUUUCUAUAUAGAGAUAUACUAAUUGUUUAAACAAACAUAUAGGCAUGCUUUUCUAAAUGGGCUAAUGCCGAAAUUAAUUAGUAAAGCUGACAUUAACAAUUAUGACAAGAUCCAUACUAAAAAAAAGUCAAGCUUACUCUUUUAAAUUCAUUAGCAUGCUGAAAAAGUUAUUAAACCUAUAAAAGUUAAGAUCUAGGUUAUUAACAUUUACUAAAGUUAGCCAACUCUUAUUGAUUCAAGCUACUUGAUUAAUAUACUAACAAGACAAACAAAUUGUUGAUUUUAAGUAGAUUAUUUACACGAUUCCGACAUGUUGCCUAUUCUAAUGAUUUUAGUAAUAGACAGAUUAUCUAUAACAAUCACACAUAACAAAAUAAACAAAGAAAACAGUUGGCACAUAUAUCCCCCUCCCCUUAGACGAUCCCCAAAUACAUUUUAUAUAUAGAGAGUUAGAGAGUUACUAUAAGAUUAUUAUAGAACCAAAAUAGAAAAUAAUACAAAUAUUAUGAAUAAACUUAUAUCUUGUCCAAUGACCCAUCCUAGGCGACUCUUCAAACUUGAACCCAAGUCUGAACCUGCUAAAGUGAGAUGCAGACAAAUACAACAAUAAAGAGCAAUAUACUAUAAUGAAGCGAGCAUACUAAUUAUGGGAAAAUUCAUCAUAUGCGCAUAUUUAUUUCAUACAUCUGGUUAAAAUAAACAGACAAGCACUUAGAGAAGUAAACAAUCAAUAAAUAUAAUAUCACACAAAGUGAGGGAAGAACGAAAACUGACUUGCAUGUCUCCUCUUAUCCCUUUCGAACUUAUGCAUAAAACUAAAUGCAUAAUGAUGCAGAAACUAUAUAUAUAUAUAUANNNNNNNNNNNNNNNNNNNNNNNNNNNNNNNNNNNNNNNNNNNNNNNNNNNNNNNNNNNNNNNNNNNNNNNNNNNNNNNNNNNNNNNNNNNNNNNNNNNNNNNNNNNNNNNNNNNNNNNNNNNNNNNNNNNNNNNNNNNNNNNNNNNNNNNNNNNNNNNNNNNNNNNNNNNNNNNNNNNNNNNNNNNNNNNNNNNNNNNNNNNNNNNNNNNNNNNNNNNNNNNNNNNNNNNNNNNNNNNNNNNNNNNNNNNNNNNNNNNNNNNNNNNNNNNNNNNNNNNNNNNNNNNNNNNNNNNNNNNNNNNNNNNNNNNNNNNNNNNNNNNNNNNNNNNNNNNNNNNNNNNNNNNNNNNNNNNNNNNNNNNNNNNNNNNNNNNNNNNNNNNNNNNNNNNNNNNNNNNNNNNNNNNNNNNNNNNNNNNNNNNNNNNNNNNNNNNNNNNNNNNNNNNNNNNNNNNNNNNNNNNNNNNNNNNNNNNNNNNNNNNNNNNNNNNNNNNNNNNNNNNNNNNNNNNNNNNNNNNNNNNNNNNNNNNNNNNNNNNNNNNNNNNNNNNNNNNNNNNNNNNNNNNNNNNNNNNNNNNNNNNNNNNNNNNNNNNNNNNNNNNNNNNNNNNNNNNNNNNNNNNNNNNNNNNNNNNNNNNNNNNNNNNNNNNNNNNNNNNNNNNNNNNNNNNNNNNNNNNNNNNNNNNNNNNNNNNNNNNNNNNNNNNNNNNNNNNNNNNNNNNNNNNNNNNNNNNNNNNNNNNNNNNNNNNNNNNNNNNNNNNNNNNNNNNNNNNNNNNNNNNNNNNNNNNNNNNNNNNNNNNNNNNNNNNNNNNNNNNNNNNNNNNNNNNNNNNNNNNNNNNNNNNNNNNNNNNNNNNNNNNNNNNNNNNNNNNNNNNNNNNNNNNNNNNNNNNNNNNNNNNNNNNNNNNNNNNNNNNNNNNNNNNNNNNNNNNNNNNNNNNNNNNNNAUAUAUAUAUAUAUAUAUACAAGUCACUAACCGGUUAAGCAGUUAAAGAAAUAUCAGCAAUGAAGAACCCUUAAUCCAACUUUCGACCCGUACACAGCAAAAUAGCAAGUAUAGAGGAGCUUUAAUGUUUACCAAACAAAACCUUAAUUCUAUUUUAAAGAGUAGAGAGCAAUAUUUUUUAGUAUUCAAGUAUGAGCAAAGUCAAGAUGUCUGAGUCCCUAAACAAUGAAAGGGAGCCUUGUUUAUAUACUAACUGAGAGGGGCACGGUAAUAAGGGAAGAAAUAAUCAAGGAGCCAAUUAUAACAUGUUUUCCUUAAACAAAAGGAGUAUAAAAUCAGUCCCGUAUUUAUUUAUUCUUUUUACCAAACAUAAACAAGUAAGAAAUCUGCCUACUUUUAAUUAAGGUAAGGAAAUCAAUUGAGAAGUCACUAUUUUUACCAAGUUCAAAUUUACGGACAGUCACCAUACAAAUUGACAAAAAUAAAUAAAUAUCGAAGGAAGGGAAUAAAUUUGGGAUCACUUACGCACUAUCAUUACACGCCUUAUUAAUUUUAAGACUUACCAUAUUCAACUUUCAAACAAGGAAUUCAAAUAGUUAAAUAACCUGUAAGUAAGCUAUAAUAGCUCAACUAUUAAUGCUAUAUACCAAGCAACUAAGGGAAAUACAAUUAUACGCAUGACAAUAUCAUAUGCAAUAACAUACUGAAUCCAAAGCCAUAUCAAUUAGUAAAUCCAUUUAUGCUCUAAUUGGUUUAAACGUGCAAAUUGCUUCUAAAUUGAAUGAGAAUCAACACUCAGAUUAAUUAAUGGGUUAACUAUCAAGAUUAACAAAUGUAACCAAGGUAACUGGCAAAUUCAAAGACAAGUGCGAGAUAUCCAUAUUAAUCUUGAGAAGAACAAUGGAGCGUAUGAAUUUCGAGAAGAAAAUACCAUUAGAAAAAAAAUAAAAAUCGAUAAAAAUUAAUUUAAGCUAUUUUAUAUUAACAAGUAAAUAUUUGAUGAGUUGUUUCAUGAAUAACAACAAACUAUAAAUAAACAUAGAAUAGACAUUUAAAGGGGCGCACCUGGACGGAUCCUUAGCUAAAUUCGGAAAAUUUACCGGAGCUUCUAGCUUGUUUCUUCGUACUCAUGGCUGUUGGUCGGAGUUACUGUUUCUCUCACCGGAAAAAGGAAGGCAGUGGAGCAGCAUUGGCUGCUGGCUGUUCUCGCCGGUGAUUGCUGGUCGCUGGUGGCUUCGCCAGUCACUGUUGAUUCUGGUGGUCCUCGCCAUUUGCUGGCUGUUGUUGUCACUGGCUGGAGCUGUUGUUGUUGUUGUUGUUGUUGUCGUCGACUGGAGCUGUUGUUGCUGUUGUUGUCGCCGACUGGAGCUACUUGAGGCGCUGGCUCUCGAGUUGCUGUUCCACCGGUGGUCCUCGCCGGCUGCUAGUCAGACGGGGAGAAAAAAGAGAUGGAGAAGAAGGGAGGAGAGGGGAAGGGAGAGAGAGAGAGGCGGCUGCCACCAGCAAAUGGUGGUGAUUACUGUUCUCGUCUCUGGCGACUGUUGGUCACCUGGAAUCUCGCCGGCUGCUUGUUGGUUUUCAUCAGAGGAGACGGGUGAGAAGAGAAGAGAGAGCAGUGGCGCUAGAGAGAGAGGAAGAGUGAAUAAAUUUUAGGGUUUUGAUCUCUUAGAACUAAAAUAGGAAAGGUUAAAAGGAUUGAUCUCGUCUAUUGAUUUAAUAACAGAUGAAGGGCUAGGAUUUGAUCUUAGGUUUUAACUAAAGGAUAGACGGUUGAGAUUAAAAGAUGAAAUUUUAAAAUCAGAUUGAAUUGAAUUUGGAAUGGCCAAAAUUGCAAUAGAAUUGGCUAGGAUUGAAAUGAAAGGGUGGCUAUAAUUGAAAUACAAUUGGAAUUGAAUAUGCUAGAUUUUAAAGGAAUGAGAAUAAAAUAGGCUAACAUUUAAACGAUUUUGAGGAAACUAAGAAGAUGCUAUUCGAUUAAUAAAAUACUACAUAUAUUACAACAUUUUUGUAUAAUUAAAAUAACUUAAAUUUUAAAAUAUUUGAAUAAAAUAAUUACUUUUAGUUUUACUAAUAAUUUUAAAAAUAUUUUAAUAAUUUUAUAAAGAGAGCAUACUAAAAUGUACAAUUUUUAGACAAAAUCGACUAAAAUUUUAGAACUCAAAAAUAUAUUCAAAAUAAAUAUUUAAUCGAAUAGCAUUCCCAAAAGGGUUAAAGGUCGGUCAAAAUUGGGUAUCAACAACUAUGGGUGGUGGAAGAAUCGCAUACAUGAUUACAUCAAUGCUGAAGACACUGAGUUGUGGGACGUGAUUCUUGAUGGACCGUACAUUCCCACAAAGAAGGUGAAAGAUGGAGAGCUCACCACAACAGCUAUCAAAACCAGAAAGGAGUACAAUGAAACGGACAAGAAGAAGAUAGAGAAGAAUUAUAAAGCAAAGAAGAUUUUGGUAUGUGGAAUCGGGUCAGAUGAGUACAACCGAAUCUCUGCCUGUGAGACAACCAAGGAGAUAUGGGACUAUCUUCAAAUAGCCCAUGAGGUAACAACACAAGUGAAUGAGUCUAAGGUCGAUAUGCUUAUGACUCAAUAUGAGAACUUGUGUAUGAAGGAAAGUGAAACUAUCUUCGAGAUAAACUCAAGAUUCACCUCCAUAACCAACGAACUGAGAUGCCUUGGUGAGCCUAUUCCCCUAAGCAAACAAGUUCGGAAGAUUCUCAAAGUACUUCCCAAGUCAUGGGAAAGCAAAGUGAAUGUUAUAACUGAAGCAAAAGAUCUGAAGACUCUUUCCAUGGAUGAACUGAUUGGAAAUCUCCAAACCUAUGAGUUGAACAAGCAACAGGGGACAAACAUGAAUGAGGAAAACAAGGAGAAAUCAGUUGCUUUGAAAACAUCUCAAAACGAUGUGACUGAAGAGGAGGACGAAAUGGCAUAUGUUACUAGAAGGUUUCAGAAGAUUAUCAAGAAGCAUGGAGGCUUUCAAAAGAAAGCUUCGACCAGCAGAGCAGCAAAUGCAAAUGAUCUUUGUCAUAAAUGUGGCAAACCUGGUCAUUUUAUGAGGGACUGCCCCAGCCAGAAGCAGGAAACUCGGGACUUCAGACCUCGCAGAAGGGACCAAGUCCUAGACCAUGCCAAGAGUAAAGCUCAUGCUGAUCAACUGGUAAAGAAAGCAUUGGCUGUAUGGGGAAACGUAUCUAGCGAGUCCGAGGAAGAGACAGAUAGUCCAGAAGAUGUCUCGAUGAUGGUUGUGGAAGAUGAUGAAACUGUCUACAAUUCUAUUUUUUCAUUAAUGGCAAAUUCUGAUGAUGAAGAGGAUCUGAAUGAGGUAACCCUUUCUAAUCUCAAGGAUGAUCUAGAUACUCUUCCCAUUAAUAGAUUGAGAAAACUUGUUGCUCUAUUAAUUGAUUUAGUUGAUGAACUAACUUCUGAAAAUUUGAUGAUGAGUGAAAAGCUGAGUUUGUGUGAGGAUGAAAACGCAGCUCUCAAAUGUCUAAAAUGUCUAAAAUGAGUGUUAGGAUAGGUAUCCUUGAGACUGGUAGUCUGGAAUCUAACAAGGAACCUGGUACCUCUAAGGGUGGGAAGUGAAAACUCAGUAACUUUAAGGUUGAACUAGAAGAGAAACUUAAGACCUCUGAGUCUAAGUUAGUUGCCUCCCUAGAAAGGAAUUCUCAACUAGUGAAGGAUCUAUGUAAGAUCAAAGAAGAGUUGAACCACUCCCUCAAAUGGACUGAUUCGUUUAAGAUACUCUCUAACUUGGCAAAUCAGAAGUUCAACAACAGAAAGGGUUAGGUUGUAGACAGAUAGAGCCUCCCUACAAUCCUCAUAGUAAAUUUGUGUCUGUCUCUGACAACCUUUUGUGUACCCACUAUGGAAAAAAUGGUCAUCUGAAAGAAAAUUGUGAGAUUUUGAGAGGAGUAAAAGAAAGGCAGGAGAAGUUUCUUAAAUUAAGAAAGGUUUUUGAAAAAAAGAAAAAGGUACCUAGUCCCAGUUACCACUUUAGCAAGAACACUUUACCCCCAUGGACAGGAAGGUUUCUCAUUAAGCCUUUUGACAGUUUUAGGGAACUCCAUUUGAAGUGGGUUCCUACGUCUAAUAAGUGAUUUUGUGCAGAAAAUAGGAAGCAGUCAAUGCUGGUACAUGGAUAGUGGAUGCUCAAGGCACAUCACUGGAGACACUUUAAACUUCCUCUCUUUGGAAGCACACCAAGGUGGUGGUGUGUCAUUUGGUGGUGGAAAGAAGGGUUUUAUUCUUGGAAUUGGCAAGAUAGGAAGAACAUUUGAUCACUCCAUAGACAAUGUACAUUAUGUGGAUUGUUAGAAAUACAAUCUCCUGAGUGUAUCUCAAAUUUGCGACAAGGGAAAUGAAGUCAAGUUCAUGUCUGAUAGGUGUCUGGUUACAAACUGUGCAACUAAAAGGGUUGUUUAUGUCUGCCAAAAGAGUCAAAAAUAUGUAUGUUGCAGAUCUUGACUCUAUUGAAGGGGACUGUCUUUCAUGCCUGAGUGCUCAAACUGAUGAUGCAAAUCUGUGGCAUCAGUGAUUGGUCAUGCAAGUACCUCUUUGUUGAACAAGCUUGUUGCAAGGGACUUGGUCUGUGGAUUGCCAAAGUUAAAGUUCUCAAAUGAUAAAGUUUGUGAUGCAUGUGCAAAAGGGAAACAAACAAGAUUAUCCUUCAAAUCCAAGAAAUAUGUGAGCACAACCAAACCUCUGGAUCUUCUCCACAUGGACUUGUGUGGACCUAUCAGAGUUCAAAGCAAAGGAGGUAAGAAGUAUAUUCUGGUAGUUGUUGAUGAUUUCUCCAGGUUCACUUGGAACAUGUUUCUGCGGACAAAGGAUGAGACGGUCGAACUUCUGAUCACGUUUGCCAAAGCAAUUCAACUGAAGGUUAACUGCAAGAUUGCUAGUACCAGAUCUGACCAUGGCACAAAGUUUGAGAACUCUCAAAUUGAAGACUUUUGUGCUGAAAAUGGAAUUAAUCACAAUUUAUCCGCACCAAGGACUCCUCAACAAAACGGAGUUGUUGAAAGGAAGAACAAAACAUUGGUGAAUAUUGCUAGAACCAUGCUGAUUGACUCAGGACUAGAAAUGAGUUUUUAGGCAGAAGCAGUCAACACAACAUGCUAUGUUACUAACAUGUGUCUUAUCAGUUCUAUGAUCAAGAAAACACCUUAUGCGUUGCUCAACAAUAGGAAACCUUCAAUUGCUCAUUUGAAACCAUUUGGUUGCAAAUGCUUUGUACUGAACAAUGGAAAGGAUGACAUUGGAAAGUUUGAUGCCAGGAGUGAUGAAGGCGUGUUUGUUGGGUACUCUUUUACCAACAAGGCAUACAUGGUUUUUAACAAAAGAACUCUAUGUGUUGAUGAGAGUAUGCAUGUGAAAUUUGAUGAGUUUGAGAGAAAUGAUGAACACAAAGAAGACCCUGAUUUGGAUGAUCUGAUCAAGGGAAAACAGGACAAUGGAAUCCAAAAUCCUAGAAACAAACAGGUUGCGAAAGAAAUUGAUGCAGAACUCACAGAAUAACCUAGUCCCUCUGGUUCAGCCUAUGAGAUAUUAUCUCAAAAUCCAGAAGGUGAGGAAGGUGAAUCUGAUGUUGAUGUGAAAGAAGAGAUAACCAGAAAUUUUGGAUGGAACCAUCAAUCCUCAGAUCCACUGGACAAUCUCAUCUCCCCACUUGAUUCAGGAAUACAAACUAGAUCCAAAACAAGAAAUUUGGUUGCAUAUUCAGCCUUCAUAUCAUCCAUUGAGCCUAAGAAUAUCAAAGAGGCUUUACAGGAUGCAGAUUGGGUAACAUCAAUGCAGGAAGAUCUUCAUCAGUUUGAGAGAAGCAAGUGUGGCACCUGGUCCCCAGACCACUCAACAGAACCAUUAUUGGGACAAGAUGGGUUUUCAGAAACAAACUUGAUGAGCAUGGGAUCAUCACCAGAAACAAGUCAAAACUUGUGGUGCAGGGAUACAAUCAAGAAGAGGGGAUUGACUAUGACGAGACCUUUGCUCCUGUAGCCAGAAUGGAAGCUAUUAGAAUCCUGAUAGCCUUUGCCGCCCACAUGGAGUUUAAACUGUUUCAAAUGGAUGUCAAGAGUGCCUUCUUGAAUGGGAAUUUGAAAGAAGAGGUGUAUGUCAAAUAGCCUCCAAGUUUUGAAGAUGCUGCCAAAUCAUGUACUAAAGUUGGAUAAAGCUUUGUAUGGUUUAAAGCAAGCUCCCAGAGCUUGGUAUGAGCGCUUGUCAAAAUUCCUCCUUGCAAAUGGGUCCAACAGGAGUAAAAUUGAUAAUAACUUGUUCCUAAAAUCUAGAGGUAAGGAGUUGUUGAUUGUGCAGGUAUAUGUCGAUGACAUCAUCUUUGGAGCUACUUCAAAUUCACUGUGCAAAGAGUUACUGAUUUGAUGAGUAGUGAAUUUGAAAUGAGCAUGAUGGAGGAGCUUACUUUCUUCCUAGGAUUGCAAAUCAAGCAGUCUCCUCAGGGCACUUCUAUAUGUCAAGAGAAGUAUAUAAGAAUUGCUCAAAAAGUUCAAUCUACUUGAGGAAAAAGUUCUUGACACUCCUAUGAGCACAAGUGUGAAACUUGAUCUGGAUGAAGAUGGUGUUGAGGUUAAUCAGACCAUGUAUAGGGGAAUUAUUGGGUCACUUCUGUACCUCACUACAAGCAGGCCUGACAUAGUCUUCAGUGUAGGGAUGUGCGCAAUGUUUCAAGCAGCGCCAAAGGAGUCACAUUUGAAGGCAGCCAAGCGAAUUCUGAGUACCUGAAGGGAACUCAGGACCUGGUCCUCUUCUAUCCAACGGGUGAUUCGCUUGAUCUAAUUGGUUAUGCUGAUGUUGAUUAUGCAGGUUUUCUUGUUGAUUGAAAGAGUACAUCAGGCAUGGCACACUUUCUUGGAUCAUCACUGAUUUCUUAGGGACUAAGAAGCAAAAUUCAGUGGCACUGUCUACAGUAGAGGCAGAAUAUGUGGUUGGUGCAUCAUGUUGUGCUCAGUUCCUGUGGAUCAAGUAGCAACUGGAAGAUUUUGGUGUUCUCACAGACAUUAUCCCUCUAAUAUGCGACAACACCAGUGCAAUGAACAUGGCCAAGAAUCCUGUUCAGCAUAAAAAGACAACGCACAUAGAUGUGAGGCAUCACUUCCUAAGGGACAAUGUUGAGAAGCAAAAUGUGGUGAUGAGUUUCUGCAAGACAGAAGACCAGUUGGCUGAUAUCUUUACAAAACCCUUGAGUAAAGAAUGUUUCAUCAAAAAUAGGUUGAGACUGGGGAUGCACAAGAUCACCUGAUUCCAUGACAUGUUUGCACAAAAUCUUCCAUUUGAUUAUGUUAAGGAGGGUAGGUAUCUAUACUUAUUGUAAUGCGUAUUGUUUGAGAAUUCACUUCUGGCACCUUAAUGCAGGUAUACACUCAUGGCAUGAUGGCUGAAGGGAAGAUCUAAUCAUACAGACAGGGCUACAUACUAAAUGAGACCUGGUCCCCACGAGGUUAGUAUCACUUAUGCUACACUUUGUGUAUUUCAACGUCACUGUCACAUGUCUCUUACCCAUUCAUCGCGUUAGUUUUAGACGUCUUUUCACUUUAAAUCCAAGAGUCACUACUUUUCAGGAACCCGAUACCUCUUGGACUUAAAUAUAAACCUAACCUCUAUUAAUCCAAAAAUCUUAACCUCUUUCAAAUCUCUUUUGUGAUUUCUUAUUCGUUCCCAAAUUGCCCUUUCUUCUUCAUCAAAAUGACUAACUCAUCUUCUUCUUCAAAGCUUCCCAUUUCUUAAGAGAUUGAAAACCCUGGUUCCUUCAGUUUCUCCACCCUUUCCCCAGAAGAAUCUUCGUUGACACCAGUCUGUGGUGUUAGUGAAACGGGUGAGUCCAUCACACCUCAUACUAAAGUGGUGGCUUCUCCUACACUUCCAUCUGGGGAGAUCUUACCCUGCUCGCCUACAUUAGUUCUAUCUGGUGAGAAAUUUCAAAACACAGAAGCCCAAUCAGUCAUAAAACCAAGUGUUGACCCUUCAAUUGAAGAACUUGACGUAUUAUCUAGGGGAGUGUCUUCUACUAUGUCUGAGAGGUUAUUUGAUGGAGAUCUGCCUGAGGGAAAGAGUCCCGAGUUGAAUAUUCUAGAAGCAGGGGCAGAAUUAGUGGUUGUACAAAGUUUGGCCUCUCUUAGAGGCGAUGUUCAACCACCUUGCUGGAACAAGAGUUGAGGUCUCCGGAGUAGGUCUCUCAUAGUGUUCAACCUGUGUUUGAACAAACGCCUAGGUCAUUUGAUGUUGAUAGUGACAAGGAAGAGGAAGAAGAAGUUCCUUUGAAAUGGAGCAAAAUAGAGGUGCGAGGAGCCAACACUUUAACAGUUGGUGUCCCAGAUUCGUAAAUAGGUAGGAGUGCUCCUGAGGUUGUUCUUACUAAUGAGCCCGCUGAGUUUGCAAAGGAAAGAAAAAAAUGGAAGGGAAAGUUGGUUAAGUCUCACUCAAAAGGGGACAAAAAGAGGUAUGGGACUAGGAGCGAAAUGCAGAAAAUUAUGGGUUAUGCCAUAGCAGUGAAUGUAAUUCAAAUGGAGAGGGCUAGGAAAAGAAGACGAGAAGGUCACUUGCCUGAAGAACCCACAUCAACUCCUUUGCCUGUUGGGUCCAGUGAUACUGAAUUUGAUGAUAUCAAUGCAUAUGUGGUGAAACGAAGAAAGGAAGCUGAGGUUGAGAGGGUUAAAUCAAAGGGAAGUCAAAAGUAUGUAAAUAAAUCUCCUGUGAAGAAAAAGAGAGUGAAGAAAAGGGUUACUGUUAAAUCAAAUCAGGACAAGGGACCACGUCCUAGUGUUCCAAAACAAGUUGCAGACAAGGAAAUGACCAGGGAAGAGCGCAUAGCUGAAAUGGAGAACCAGAAAGUGUUGAACGGCAGAGUUUUUGAUCCUAAUAUUAUAACCAAAUUUGGUAUGUCCAAUUUCUUUGAUGUUGUUUCUCUAUAAGUUUGGGGCCAUCUAUUCGAACCCAGUACCUUAUUUGCAUGAACCUGAGGUGCGCGAAUUUUACUACAAAAUGGAGUUGUUAGAGGAUGGAGGAAUCAGGACUUCUGUCAAAAAUAUUAAAAUCUUUCUAGAUGAGGAAACUUUGGGGAUCAUUCUAGGUGUGCCUUUUUCGUAGUUUCCCUUUAAUAAGUUGUACUCAUUGGUUUUGCUGAGAAAUGAUUGGGAGAAGGAUAGUGCGAGGAAUCUGGUCAAUUGAAGGCUGCAAGCCAUCCAGUGAGUUCUCAAAACAGGCCACAAAUCGUGGGGACAUCAAGCGUGCAAGGAUGCCAAAGAAGUUUCUCAAAGGAGAAUAUCAACUACUCUUUGAGCUCAUCAACAAGGUGAUAGUACCAAGGACAGAGAAGAGAACUGUAACAUCUGAUGCCGAUCUAUUUCUCAUGGAGAAGCUGGAUGAACUUGAGGAAAUAAAUCUCCCUGCUAUAAUGCUUGAACAUAUGCACAAGGUGAUGACCUGGAAAUUGGCAAAGCACAGCAUCCCUUAUGGAUACUUGCUGAAUUAUGUGUUCAAACAUUUCGAAGUGACUUUGGGACGAGGGGUACCUAGUACCACCAAGCAAAUGUUCACUAAUGCUACCCUGCUAGAAUGUGAGUGUGUUGAAGGGAAGGACAGCGGUAGGUCUCAGGUGGCAGAUCUUCUAGAGCAGCAAGCCUCUCUUAAACCAGAGUUGACUGAUCUCACCGUGAUCUUGAAUGAUAAGGAGGUUGAGAUUGCGCAACUGAAAUCUCAGCUGCAGAAGGCUGUUUCAAAAGGACCUGGUACUAGUGGUGUAGAUGAGCACGUGGUGCAAAAGUUGAGAGCUGAGAAUGAGCAGCUGCUGAAGACAAAUGCCUCACUCAGUGAGGAAGUCAAGGCUCUCAACAAGCAAGUUAUUCAGGCUCAUGAGGUUGCAAAUGAGCGAAUGUCCUUGCUCAUGCGUACCCUUAAUCCCCUUUCCCCUCCGUCCUAAACGAGUCUGUCUCCCUAGUCUUUUCAUCCCUAGUUAAAAACUCUAGUGGCUAUGUGUAAUGUUUUGAAUGACUCAUGUGGUCAGCUUUUGUGAUCUAAUGCUAAUUGUUAUUGUGCCUUGUUUAGUAUGGUUUACUACUCUCUUUAUGCUUACAUAUACACGCUCUGUGUGGCCCAUGGCCCAGAUAUCUUAAAUGUUUUUCAUUAACUCGUAUAUGUGUACUGCUAUUCAUUUAAAAUGAUGUCAAAAUGGGGAAUUUUUGGUAAUUUGUUGUGAAAUAAGAAGGGAACUGAACUAAGGGGUAAGAACAGUGAUAUGGGGAAUAGGUGACAGGGGGAACUAAUGUAAUUUUUGAAUGAAUGCUUAACACUCAUGUGAGGUUGCUUGUAGGUUGUUUGUCAUCAUAAAAAAGGGGGAAACUGAUAAGUCUUAAUGCUCCCAGAUGUUUUGAUGAUCUCCUCACAAGUGCAGGGGCCCGGUCAUAUGCAGAGUAUGCUUGUCUAGGGUCAUAUGUUGUACAGCUGGAAAGUUGUAUGCGUCAGAAAGUUGGUAAGGUCGCCAGUGUACUACACCAACCAGAAGUGACGAGGUUGUUUGUCCAAAGGGUAUUAACUCUUGAUGUUUGAUAUAUUCAAGACAAAAACAACAAACAACUCAUUCAUUCAAAGAGAGAUAUUCAAGCUUCAAAACAACAGGGACCUGAUAGAUUGCAUUAUUGCUUCCUGUACCAGCUGUUACUUUUGACUGCCUGCAAUUGUGCGUAUAUUGUAGGAAUCGUUUCUCUUGUGAUAGAAACGUUUCAAUCUUGGGUGAAUCAUUGUAAGAACUUAGUUGUGGGUAACUUAGUAUCUUUCAUCAAAGUCUAUAUUAAUCAUUUGGGUUAGUAUAGUGGGCAGUGUUGUAUCUGCUUAGGCUCAUUUAAGUAAUAUGUGGUAUUACUUAGUGUGGAGAUUAGCAGGUUAAUCUCGUGUUGUAAAUUGGGUUUUACUUUUGCUUGUGAAGUUUAGUAAAAGCAGUUUGAAAAACCCUGUGAGACAGGUCGUGGUUUUACUCCCUUGAGCAAAGAGGUUUCCACGUAAAGUUGUGUGUGCAAUCUUUACUUUUAGCAUUUAUUUACUUUCUAUUAUUGUAAUCGUGUUUAGGACCUGGUCCUAUCGUAACUAGUGGACGCAUACAUUCCAACACCCCCCUUAAAACGUUAAUGGAAUUGGAGUAUUUAUAGUAGGAGAAUGGAAUCGAUUGGGGGGAAACCAGUGAGGAAGAUUGGAUUUCAAAUUCGAAAUUCAAAUAGUUCGUGGAAAGGAAAACGUUGAAAGCUGUCAACAGUACCAAUUUACACAAUCUUCAACAGAUUGAGGAGGAUCGUCCGAUUACAAGUGAAGGACGAGUGAGGUGUGAGAUUUCAACACCUCACUAUUCUCAAACGGCUCUUGUACGAGAGGAUAAGAAGAGAGAGGAGAGGAUGCAACUUUUUUUUGGAAUUACCGGAUUUAUGCGACUAGUCGCUGGAUUUUUGAGUUUCGCUUGCAUCUGGGUUUGGACGAGUUUCUGGGCUUGCUGACAUUGUUCUGGUCGCGAAGAAGACAAGCUACAGGGGUCUGGGUCGGGUCGCAUAUGCUGUUGUUGUAUGUUUUGUAUGUUGGGUAUGUUGGGAUGGGAUGGGAAUUAUUUGUUGGAAUGGGCUUGGGUUGCUGAAAAUUAGAAAUUGGCCCAAAUAAGAAAAGGGGUUAGAUCUUUUAAGGAAUAGUCAUAUUGCGUUUAAUUUAGAUGAACUAAUAUUAAUUAAUUAACGAGCUUCUUGAUCUUAACGAAAUAUAACAAUUAUUUCUACUAUAAAAUAAUUAAUUUAAUUACAAACUAAUUAACUCGAAAUUAUAAAUAUAACUUAAACUAAAUUAAUAAAAUAUUUAACUGAAAUGUAAAAUCUUUGUGAUGAUUUUCAAAUAUUUAUAAAAUAACGUGAUUAUAAAAAUAUACAUAUACAUUAUUUAAAAUUAUUAAAAUUAUUAAAAAUGACAAAAUAACUUUAAAAUAACUUGAAAGUAUUUUGAAUAUUCAUAAAAUAUACUAAUUAUAUAUAAUUAUAUAGAACAAAAAAAAAAUAUAAAAAUGACAAACUAUUUAAAAUAACUUGCAAACUAUAUUAUUAUUAUUUUUUAAAAUUUUAUAUGACUAAUUAUUUUAAAUCGUUUGAAAUUGAAGAAGCUCGAUGAUUAAUUUAUAUUGUGGAGGGUCAAAAUUGGGUGUCAACAAAAAUUAUCCAUACAAAAAAUAAGUGUUAAAGAAAAAUCUUAAUGUAAACAACUGUUGUUAAUCUGAACCAUUCACAUUCAGACCUCUAUUAAGUUCAAACAAACUAAUUUUCAAUAAAAGAAUAUGUUUUAUGAAAAUUUGUUCUUCAAAAUGAUGUUCAUGAAAUGCGUGUUACGAACAUUAUACAUAUGAGAUAUCACAUGAGUUUGCAUUUUUUCUUAAAUGACAAUAAUUAAUUUCAUAAACGAUACAAUAGUAGUCCUAGAAUCUUUUGUACAAGUGAGUAAAACAACCUGUUUUGACCAUUAUACAUGUGAAAUAUCACAUGUAUUUGAAUUUUUCUUGACUAGAUGUGAAAUAUCAUUUGUAUUUGAUUUUCUCUUGACUGGUAAUAUGAUUAUAUUCGUAAAUGACAAAAAAUGUUAAUGUUGAAUUUUAUGUAAUAUCACAUUAAUUUUCCUUUUUCUUAAAUGGUAAUAAUAUUUUCAUAAACGACAAAAUAGCAGUCCUGUAAUUUUUUUGUACAAGUGAGCAAAACAACGUGGUUUGACCAUUAUACAUUUUGAUUUUUCUUGACUAAAUGUGAAAUAUCACAUGUAUUUAAUUUUUUUCUUGACUGAUAAUAUGAUUAUAUUCGUAAACGACAAAAGUAGAGUCUUCUUCUCAUCUUAGAGAAACUCUAUAAAUUCUAAUGAGUUACUCACUUAUUUGCAUAUUCUUUCUUACACAAGAAAGUGAAAUACAUUCUUAAUCAUCUUGACUGAAUUUUGCUUGUCUUCAAAUAUCUAGAGUUCCUCUCUUCAAAUCACCCAUCACAUACAAUGAGGAAUUCUAUGCUACGCUUUGUUCUAACUCUUGUCAAUCUUAAAUGUAGGUGCUUUGUAAAUUUAUACACGCAGAAAACAUAUUCUUCCAAGAGUUGUUAUUGAAGUGUGCAUAAGAAGCUAGGCAAUGACUCUAAUUUUCCUAAACCGAACCCUCAGAUUCUCAUCAAUUGUGCUUGUUGAAUUCAUGUAUUCCCUCACUAGGCAUAAGUUCUUCAAAAUGUUAAAGAGAGAUUCAUCAAGAGAAUGCCUUCCUUUUAUUUGUAAGGAUAUCAAGAAGGAAAGGCAGAAGUGUGAGGGAAAUGUAGCAACGUGUUUCUAUCCCUUCAGAUCAUCUUAGAAGAACUUCUGAUUUUCCUUGUCGACAUCCUUAGCACAACUAAAGGUGGAAAAGAAGGUAGUCUUUUGACGGAGAUUCUUUUCCACAUAUUGAACAACUUAUGCUAGCGAGAGAACAUCCGUGGAUUUGACAAACCGACUUGAGAACUUGAGGGGUUGUCUUUAGGAGAAAUGGAUCCAUUCUCUGGGUUUCUGAUGCUCACUUCCAUAACUCCUCUUGGAGAAGAACCAUCGUGUUUCUCCUUUUCCAUCUCAAACAUUAUGAGGUCUACAACAAGAAGAUCAUCCAUGUGAAAGAAUUACAAUCUUUUUGGAAUACAACUGAUCUCGCCUUGAGCAGAAGCCGAGGAAGAGAGAUCCUUCUAUCUAUCAACAACAAAUUUGUUUUCCGAGGUAUGUACUGCAUCCAAUAAUUAGUUCUAAAUUAUUCAAAUCAUAAACUAACAUACUAAAUCUUUCCUCUUAUACAUUCCUUGGUGUUGCAUCAAAGAAAGUAUAACUAAUUCCAAAAUCAAGAAUUCAAAACGAUUGCAGGCUGGUGGUGCAUGCUUCACAGAGGAAAUCGAUUGCAAGGUAGCGGAUGACCAACAAAGCAUGGAAGUAAUGUUUUUGUUGUAAUUAACAUGUAAUUGUAACCUUCGUACUACCUCUAUUCCUAGUGAUGCAAUUUCUCAUUAUAUUCUCUUGUUUCACUAUAUCAAAGCAUUUACAGUUGAUUUGCUUGUCUCACUGUAUCGUGUCAAAUUGUUAGAGAAGUGAGAAAUCAUAUAUUUAUUUUAUGAACAUUUUCUUAGUGGGUAAAUCGAAAACCGAACUGUUGAUGACCAAAAAUCGAUAAAAAAUAUGCUAUUGGUUUAGUAUAUUUUUUUAGAAAAACGAUAAACCAAAUCGAUAAUACAUAAAUUCGAUGCACUCCCAAAAAAAGGUCUCUUAAGAGUCUUGCUUUCCAAUUAAAUAUUACAAAACAUAUGCCCCAAAAAAAAUAUUCUCUAAAAAGUUUUUUCCUGUGAAGUUAAUUUUUCCUAGCAAACUUAUGUAUACUUAAGGAUAUUUUGACCUACAAUUUUUUAUUAAAUAAGCACUAAGAAAAAGUUAAGGAUCACAAAUUUAAAGGACAAAAAUGAAAAAAUAAAACCAUAAAAAAAAGAAAGAUAGUUCGUACAUUUUUUUAAUGAUCAAUUAUUAUAAAUUAAGUGAUCAUUUAAAUGAAAAAAUAAAAAACCAUCAAAAAAUAGAGAUAGUUCGUACAUUUCUUUUAAUGAUCAAUUAUUAUAAAUUAAGUGAUCAUUCAACCAUUCAAUCAUCUGACUCACUUGUGCAAUAUUAUUUUCUUGUAUCAAAGUAUAUAAUCAUCAUAAGGUGAUGGAAUAGCAAUAGAGAUCAGACUAAAGAACUUUGUGAUUGGACACUUUCAUCAAAUUUAAAGGACUUAUCUGCCAUAAUGGUUGCCAUACAAUUUUGAACAGGUAAAUACAAAUUAAAUUUGCAUAUAAAAAUUUACAUGUUGCUUUUGUUAAUUAGCUUUGACUCCUACUUUAAGAAAAUAAAACUAAAAUGACAUCAAUUUGGUCUGAGUCUCCUUUAUUAUUAGUAUUAUUUUAUCAUUUGCCUCUUGAAUGAGUGGAUAUGUUAUGUGUCCAAACAACAAAACCAAAUGAAAAAUUCUAGAAUACAUUGUAGGAUUUUGUCUUAUUAUGUUUCCUUUGUAUGCCUACCUUGUCAAAUCGAUUUUUUUUAUUUUAUGAAAUGGGCUCUUUUAUGGCUUAAUUCCAAUAAAUUUAGUAGGAAAAAGAGCAUAAAUAUUAAAUUAUAUAUGUUUGAACUAUAAUAUUUCUCCUCUAAAAUGUUUGUGUAUUAUUUUGACCUUAAUUAGAAUUAGCGGUAUACCUAAUUCUAGGAGGGUUCAUAAUUUGAUAAAAAAAUCGAUUCAAAUUGCAGAUUAAAUUGAACUAAUUAAAUAAAUUAAUAAUUCUUUUGAGUUUAAUUUGAUUUUUAAUAAAUCAGUAAUAUUUGAUUGUUUAGUUUAUUGGAAUUAAAUAGAAGAUAAAAUCGAAUGAAAUGGACCAAGUGUAUACAUAAUUUUUGUAUAUAUAUAUAUAACCAUAAAUAUUUCAUAUAAUUUUUCAUUCAUGCCCUUAAGCUAUGUGAAAUGAACAAAAAUGUCCUUCAUUUAUGGUUUGGUACAAAAAUACCCCUAUUAUUACUUAAUGUGUCAAAAAUGUCAUUUUUCCAAAUAACUAUAUUAUUUAUUUUCUUUUUAACACAAUUUUUUUCUAAGAAUAUUUUUUAAGUUAGAAAAUGUUUAUCCUACUUCAAUUUGAAAAAAAUAAAAAUAAAAUUCUUAUUUUAUUAUAAUUGUUUUUUUUGUUAUAUAUAUAAAGAUUAAUGAUGGAUUUACUAUGAUCUUAUAUAUAUGACAUAUAUUAUCCAUUGAAAGGGAAUAUGACAUAUAUUAUCCGUUAAAAGGGUACAUGAAGUUAUUCUAUUUUAAUUGAUGAAAUGAAAUUAAGAAGAAAAAAAAAUAAUUUCCGACAUUUUUAUUAUUUAAAGUGAUUUUAAAAGAAAGAAAACAAGAAUAUGGUUUUUCAAUAAUAUUUUUAUUAGGAACAAGAUGUGUUUAAAAAGAAAAGAAAAAAUAUAUUUAUUCAAAAAUAGUAACAGUAACGGUAUUUCUGGACCAAACUAUCAACGACGAGGGCAUUUUUGGACAACAGUGUUGACGGCAAGAGCAUUUUUGAGCCAAACUAUAAACGGAUGACAUUUAUAUUCAUUUCACAUAAUUUAAGGACCUUUUCUGUUAAUUUUUUAUUGAAUAAACUAAUGGACUUUAGGUCUGACCCAUUUCUCAAUCUAAAAAAGACAAAGAAUCAAAAUCAAGUCAUAUGAAAAAUAACUAUGACAUUUUAACCAAGACUUCAUAAUAUUUCUUAUAGCAUUUAUUCACAUAAUUAAAUCAUCCAGAUCUAAAAGAUAUUUUCUACAUCAUUCAAGAAAAUUAUAGCUAUCAUAAUAAAAUUGUAUUAAAGAACCAUAAGUUGGUAAAAAAUGAAAAAAUAUUUUCCAACUAUAGUAAAAAAGAAAGAGAGAAAUACAAUUAAAAUUUCUUUAAAAUCAAAUCAAACCAAUAACAAUCAAGUCAAUAAAUAUGAAUGAUAUUCGAUUUAAAAUGAUUUUUUAAAAUUAAAAAUCAAUAAAACAAAUUAUUUUAUUUUAAGCAAAAACUGACAUUGGAAUUCCACCACCCCACCCACCCACCCAUACUUAAUUACCCACAUAAUCUCCNNNNNNNNNNNNNNNNNNNNNNNNNNNNNNNNNNNNNNNNNNNNNNNNNNNNNNNNNNNNNNNNNNNNNNNNNNNNNNNNNNNNNNNNNNNNNNNNNNNNNNNNNNNNNNNNNNNNNNNNNNNNNNNNNNNNNNNNNNNNNNNNNNNNNNNNNNNNNNNNNNNNNNNNNNNNNNNNNNNNNNNNNNNNNNNNNNNNNNNNNNNNNNNNNNNNNNNNNNNNNNNNNNNNNNNNNNNNNNNNNNNNNNNNNNNNNNNNNNNNNNNNNNNNNNNNNNNNNNNNNNNNNNNNNNNNNNNNNNNNNNNNNNNNNNNNNNNNNNNNNNNNNNNNNNNNNNNNNNNNNNNNNNNNNNNNNNNNNNNNNNNNNNNNNNNNNNNNNNNNNNNNNNNNNNNNNNNNNNNNNNNNNNNNNNNNNNNNNNNNNNNNNNNNNNNNNNNNNNNNNNNNNNNNNNNNNNNNNNNNNNNNNNNNNNNNNNNNNNNNNNNNNNNNNNNNNNNNNNNNNNNNNNNNNNNNNNNNNNNNNNNNNNNNNNNNNNNNNNNNNNNNNNNNNNNNNNNNNNNNNNNNNNNNNNNNNNNNNNNNNNNNNNNNNNNNNNNNNNNNNNNNNNNNNNNNNNNNNNNNNNNNNNNNNNNNNNNNNNNNNNNNNNNNNNNNNNNNNNNNNNNNNNNNNNNNNNNNNNNNNNNNNNNNNNNNNNNNNNNNNNNNNNNNNNNNNNNNNNNNNNNNNNNNNNNNNNNNNNNNNNNNNNNNNNNNNNNNNNNNNNNNNNNNNNNNNNNNNNNNNNNNNNNNNNNNNNNNNNNNNNNNNNNNNNNNNNNNNNNNNNNNNNNNNNNNNNNNNNNNNNNNNNNNNNNNNNNNNNNNNNNNNNNNNNNNNNNNNNNNNNNNNNNNNNNNNNNNNNNNNNNNNNNNNNNNNNNNNNNNNNNNNNNNNNNNNNNNNNNNNNNNNNNNNNNNNNNNNNNNNNNNNNNNNNNNNNNNNNNNNNNNNNNNNNNNNNNNNNNNNNNNNNNNNNNNNNNNNNNNNNNNNNACUUAAUUCCCCACUUGAUCCCCUUUUCGUUUUCAAUAAGGUUUCUGAGAAUAUAAUUUAAUGAAAUUUGACUGAUAUUUAAAAUGUCCAACUUUUCUUUAUUUUGAUAAUCAAAAAUUUAUAACUUGUAGUGGUUAUCAUGUUAUUUAGAUAUUUAUAACCACCAAAGGAUACGGUGUAAUGAAUGAAAUUAUUUCUUCUUUAAUCAGAAAUUUUAUAUUUGAGUCUUGAAUAUGAAAAAAACUUUGGUAUAAAACACUCGCUCGCCCUUUCCCCAAAUAAAUCCAUUCGUGACGCGAAUUGAAAUAAUCAAACGUUAAUAUAAAUAUCAAACGGAUGAUGAAAAAUCCACAAAUAAACAUAAUCUAGUUUAGUUCAACUGACUUUGAAUAAACAAAUGACAAAUUGUUUUCAAAGAAAGCAUCUGUUUUUUUCUAAUUUGGAGAAUAUCCAAUGAGCAGCUGCCCAUCCUUAUCAUAUACAUUAAAAAAGUCAACUAAGCUUAUGUAUACGUGAGCGCGCAGAUAUAAAUAGAAUCAGCAAAAGAUACUAUUAGAAAAUCACGAUCAUAAUAAUUCAAUUAGUUAACUAUCUAAAUUAGAGUAAUAUUGAAUAAAAAAAUCAUGAUUUUAUUAUUUUUAAAUCAAGUGUUUGACAAAUAUAAAAAUAACUUAUAAUAAGUAAAAAAUGACUUAAAAUAUGUUAGGGAGUGUUUGACAAAGUCAAAAAUAACUUAAAAUAAAUUGAAAAUAACUGUAAAAAUGCUUUAAAAUCAAAAGUAGGCAUCUUCCUACUUUUUAUUUUUUAACUUAAAAGUUAUUUAAAUUUGACUUUUUAUUUUUUAACUUAAAAACUAUUGUUCAAAAUACGUUUCAAAUUAAUAAGGCAAACAAGAAUUAUUUAUCAUUAAAAAUACAUUAUAAAAAACCCUAUUGAAAUGGAAAAUGUUAAUUUUAAAUACUUCCAAGUUCCAAAUUAGUUUUAUUCAAAGUUGCACUGAAAAUUAGGUGGUAACUUGGUCAAACAAAAUUUAUUUUUUUAAGAAAAAAUUACAAGUUUGGGUGUUAAAGGACAUUUUUCCUUUUACUAUUUUAUUCAUAACUAUAUAUGUAUCUCACGUUCUUCCUUUUUCCUUCUUUAGAAAAUAAAAAUAUACAUAAUUUGGCUUUCAUAUGAAAACAGAAGAGAAGACUCUCUGUUGUUAAACUGUCACUGCCAUUGCUUUCUCUGCUAUACAAUUUUCUCAUGCUCUAAAAAUUACUUUCUUCUUCUUCUUUUUGCUUAUAUUUUUUCAAAAGUUUCAUUCUUGCUACUUGGGAUUCAGUUGAAAUUGUAAAAAGUUCCAUUCUUGGUACUUGGUGUUCUGUUGAAAUUGUUAAAUUUGCUAUGUAAAUGGUUUUUUCAGGGUUUUGAAAGGACUUGCUAUGGAUCUUGAAACAGGGUUUUAUCAGAAUCGUUUAAAGGUAACUUCUUUCUUAGUGAUUAAGUCAUACUAGUUUUCAGAUUUUUUUCAUAUAAAUGUUUUCUUGAUUAUUUUUUUUGGAAUUUUUGGGGUUUGAUUACAGAAAGAAUCUUGGAGGACAGUGUUGACAUUGGCCUAUCAAAGUUUAGGGGUUGUUUAUGGUGAUUUGAGUACAUCACCACUCUAUGUAUAUACAAGUACUUUUGCUGAUGACAUUAAACAUUCAGAGACAAAUGAAGAAGUUUAUGGGGUUUUAUCAUUUAUCUUUUGGACAUUGACUUUGAUUCCUCUAUUGAAAUAUGUGUUCAUUGUGCUUAAAGCUGAUGAUAAUGGUGAAGGAGGAACAUUUGCUCUUUAUUCACUCUUAUGUAGACAUGCUAAAGUUAACUCAUUGCCUAAUUCCCAGUUAGCAGAUGAGGAAUUAUCAACUUACAAGAAGAAUGAUGUUAAUAUUCCUGCACAAACUACUUUUGGGGGGAAAAUUAAAUCAAUUCUAGAGAGGCAUAGAGUGUUACAAAGAUUAUUGCUUGUUUUGUCUCUAGGUGGAGCUUCUAUGGUAAUAGGUGAUGGAAUUCUUACACCUGCUAUUUCAGGUAUGCCCCCUUACUGUGGAACAUUUCGUGUUAGUUUUUUGAAUAAUUUGAUUAAUUUUUGUGGGAAUAAUAUUGCAGUUUUCUCUGCCAUUUCUGGUGCUGAACUUUCUUUGGGAAAAGCACAUCACUUAUGUAAGACUCUUAGCCUCCUUCUCUGAGAUUAUUAUUGGUGUAUGCAGUGUUUUACUCCCUUUGUUUUACCUUAUAUUACUGGGGACUGGACAUGGAAUUUAAGAAAAAAAGAUAGACUUUUUAUACAUAAGCUCAAUAUGUAUAGAGCAUGCCAUAUCAUUCUUAUCAGAUCAUGCCAUCAAAAGUAAAACAGGAAUGCUAAAAUUAAAUAAUUUUUAAUAUAGGAAAGUGUCAUUUUUUUCUGUGACAGACCAAAAGAGAUAGAAUGGAAUGUAGGGAGUAUCUGCUUAACCCCACAGAAAAGUUGACUGAUCAUGGGAAACAGUGACUGUGAGCUUUUGUUCUUACCAUAUUCCAUAGUUUGCGGAUAGAUUUGGUCAUUAGAAAACCUGAAAAACUUAAAUCCUUUAAACUGUUACAUUGUGUUCUGUAAAUCAGUAAUAGUUAUUCUGUUGAUUGCUAUACAAUUUAAAGUCAAAGAUUAGAUACUAGUAGGAGCACUACUUGCAGUGCUUUUAAGUUGAAGUCCUAUGCAUUCAAGAGUUGAAAGCAGAAUCUCAACUAGCGAGUUACAACAUUGCACUCAUGCAGGAUAGAUCAAAUGUUCUCACAAGAUAAUGUUUAGACCCUUCUGACCGUACAUUUGCCUAUACUUUGUGGUUGAAUUUUAUGUUAAAUAAAGCUGUAAGAAAGAAGUAGAAGCUCUGGAUAUUCAUUCAUUAUCAGGUCAUGCCUGUUGAAUAGAACUAAUAUUAUGAAACAUUCCUCGUUUAACGCAAAAGUGAUUAAGUAGCACUCUACUGGAGCAUCUAUGUGUUCUGUAAAUGGGCUACAGUCCAAAGAGGAGAAAACUGACCCAUGCCUUUUUCUUCUAUUGGUGGUUGGGCUAAUAGAUGUUGGCUGAUCUUAAAUAGAUCCAUCAACCAUAAAGAACUGUCUUGUGGCUGAGAAACUAUAAAAACUAAAAGGGUAAAGUCUUCAAGUGGGUUGCUGAGGAGUAUGCUACUGCACUAAUAAAAACAUUGGACUUAUGCAAAAAAUAUUGAUUCGAUGCUAGCAGAUGUUAAUCCCUCUAGAAUCUCAGAGUUUGAGCAAUAGUUCAGGUUUGCUUUGCUUAAUCCAUUGAUUGUACAUUUGUACUCAUAAAUCUUGACUGUCUUUUGGACUCACUAAAUUUCAUUUGUCAGAUAUAUCUCCGAAUAAUAUAAAGGGAAUGAUGAAGGUAUAAACCAAAAUUGAGUUUUGAUUGGUUAAGGAUUCUGUGCCAACAGACACACUUCGCGUUAUUGUUAUGGUAGUUAUGGUUGAUAUGGGAUGAUCCCACCAUGAUGAGAGUUAUGUUAAUUGCAUAUACAAUAUUUUGAUUGCAUAUACACCAUGAGAUGGAAUUGAUAUCAAGGUAAUCACGGAUUUGCGUGAUAUAUCAUGUGGAGUUCCAAGAUUUUGAGAAAUCUUGGGGAUUGGGGCUUAAUUCACUCAUAUUUUUUCUUCUUUUUUUCAUUGUUUGUUGAUUGAGUUCCUAUUAUUUAAAGGAUUUAGAAUAAAAUAUAACUCUUAAUACCUACGCCCAAAAUGACUUGCUAUCUUUUCUCCUAAAUAUGAAAAAUUUGCAGAUAUAGAAGUUCCAGUUGCUUGUGUCGUACUGAUAGCAUUGUUUGCCCUUCAACAUUAUGGCACCCACAGGGUUGGAUUUAUGUUUGCACCUAUCGUCGUGACAUGGCUCUUGUGUAUCAGUGGCAUUGGGUUAUAUAAUAUAAUUCACUGGAAUCCAACUGUGUAUCGAGCACUGUCUCCAUAUUACGUGUACAAGUUCCUGAAAAAAACUCGAAAAGGAGGCUGGAUGUCCUUGGGAGGAAUCCUUUUGUGCAUAACAGGCAACUACAUAGCUGUGUCUCUCAAAUGAAUAGAUAUCUAUUACUCCUCCCAGUAUCAUGAUCACUUAAUACAAAACUCGUUCUUUCAGGUUCAGAAGCAAUGUUUGCUGAUCUUGGACACUUCUCCCAGUUGUCAAUUAAGGUAUGUGUCCAUCCAUCCUGAUGCGUGUCCUCUUUAUCCAUCGUAAAGACUUGAUGUAGCUCGUCAACUUUCAUAAAUGAUGAUUUUCAGAGAACAAAAGUUUGAAUUUACUAACUAGGGAUUGUAAAUCCACAAUUUGUUGUAUGGAUGAAGAGUAAAAGUGAGAGAGUGACAGCAAAGUAUACAUCAGGAAAACUGAAAGAUCAGUACUGUUAAAUACAAAAGGCAUGAAUCAUUAAUUAGGAAGAUUUUACGUAGAUGGUUUAAUUUCCCUUGUCUAAUACAAUCUUUUUUCCUAAUUGAAAGUGUGGAAGAGAUUUCUCUUCAGGAAGAAAACAUUUCUGAUUGGUCUCCAUACAAAGGCAUCAAUCUUGCAUGAUUGUUAGAACUUGAUCAUGAUAUCUUAUUCAAAUGUCAAAAGUAGUUACAAAUAACUGUGAAUUGUGAUAAUAUAAAUGAUCUGUAACUGUUAUAGUCAAUCAAAUGGUUAGCAGCAAUCUUAGGUGAUUAAUUUAUUCGAAAACACGCAGUUUCCACAAAAGAGAAUCUUUGAGAAGCCUUUGUUUUCAAUCGCUGAACUUAUCUAUUUAAUUUCCGCAGGGAUCAAUGCUAGUUCUGCUGAAAUGCUUACAACUGCUUCCCAUGUUGAUAUCAGUUGACAUUAGUUUGCCUUAUUGUCUCAGGAUCCCUUCGGUUUACUUUUAUUCCAGAUUGUUAUAGAUGUACCAUAAUCACUUGUAUCACCAGUGAUGUGUUUACAAUUUGAUGACACUAUAAGGGAAAAUGAUAUUGAAAUAGAGACAUGAAUGAAUACAGUUUGAAGAUAGAUUUCUUAAAUACUGGAUUUUGAAGGUUCUCCUUUUUGUUCUAGAAAAAGUGAAAACCAAAACCUAGUCGCUUGUGUGAAUUGUACAGAUUCGUACAGUUCGUAUCACCAUGAGACUGUACAAUUGUAUAUAAGACUAGUUCCAUUUUGCAGAUUGCUUUUACCUCCUUGGUUUAUCCAUCAUUAGUUCUUGCAUAUAUGGGGCAAGCUGCUUAUCUGUCACGGCAUCAUGUUAUGGAGAAUGACUAUCAGAUUGGCUUCUAUGUUUCUGUACCUGGUAUGUAUUUUAGUUGUUACUUUUACUAGGACAGGAGAAUAUAGGCAAAUUCUUGAUUGACAUGUUCCUCUUUUGUUUCAGACAAACUAAGAUGGCCUGUUCUAGUGAUUGCUGUACUGGCUGCAGUAGUGGCGAGCCAAGCCGCUAUCACCGGAACCUUCUCAAUUAUUAAACAAUGCUGCGCCCUGGGAUGCUUCCCAAGAGUCAAAAUAGUUCAUACGUCGUCAAAAAUACAUGGCCAGGUUUACAUCCCUGAGAUUAACUGGACCUUAAUGAUACUAUGCUUGGCUGUUACUAUUGGUUUCAGAGACACAAAAAGGCUGGGCAAUGCUGCAGGUAUGGAUUCAAUCUUACACAAAAUACAAGAAUAAUUUACUCAUACUCAAAAAGCAAAGGAAGAUUUUGUCUAGUGCCGAUCACUUUAUCUUUGUAGAAUUUAGUGGCAGUUUUAAUAUGCCACUUCAGUGAAUUGGAUUAUGUCAUUACUAGAUCUACUUUAUUAAAUUAGGGUCUUUCUGUCCAGUUGCAGGUAGUCUGCAUCUUCACGGACAUGUCUAUUUCACCGAGCCUCUCUUUCCCAUCCCUGUUAUGAUUUCUGUACUAGUUACCAUCCUAUAACUUACUUCAACCUCCCCCCCUCCUUCCCCGGUGCAUGGACCCAAGUUCUCAUAUUUCAUUUUGCUGUAUUUUCUCAAUUUCUCAUGCUUAAAUACUCGUCUUUUCCUUUUUAAUAUUCAUUUUGUCCUUGUUUACACAAUGGACAAAAUGAUAUUAGCGAAGACACAUCACUUAACAAGCCCAUGAUGAAUGAACUUCUUUACUAAUUCAUCCCUAUUUAUUUUUUUGCAUCAGGUUUGGCAGUAAUAACUGUAAUGUUGGUGACCACUUGCUUGAUGUCAUUGGUUAUUGUUUUGUGUUGGCACCAAAAUGUCCUCCUUGCAGUUUGCUUUGUGAUCUUCUUUGGGACAAUCGAGGCUUUAUAUUUCUCUGCUUCUUUAAUUAGAUUUUUUGAAGGAGCAUGGGUGCCUAUUGCCAUUUCUUUAGUUUUCAUGAUAGUGAUGUGCAUUUGGCACUAUGGCUCACUGAAAAAGUACGAGUUUGAUGUUCAAAAUAAGGUGUCUAUCGACUGGCUACUCAGUGUAGGUCCCAGCCUAGGUAUUGUAAGGGUGCGUGGCAUUGGCCUCAUAUACACUGAGCUGGUAUCCGGAAUCCCAGCGAUCUUCCCUCACUUUGUUACCAAUUUUCCAGCUUUUCACCAGGUCCUGGUAUUCAUUUGUGUCAAAUCUGUCCCAAUUCCUCAUGUUAGACAUGAGGAACGGUUCCUUGUCGGACACAUUGGCCCAAGAGAGCACCACCUUUAUAGAUGCAUUGUUAGAUAUGGUUAUCGUGAUGCUCGUAAGGAUGAUCUCCAGUUUGAGAAUGAUCUUGUAUGUAGCAUAGCUGAGUUUAUAAGGACAGGAAAGAGAGGGUUGAAUGGUAAUGCUGCUGAAGAUUUAACAAAGGAUUUGGAGGACAUGACUGUUCUUGGAACCCCUAAUACUCAUAUAUCUGGAGUUCAGCUUUAUGAGGACAAUGAACUGAAUUCAGAAUCAGUUGGAACGUCCAAACUUAGAGAAAUGCACACUACACAUAAAACCAAGCCUAAGAAAAGAGUGAGGUUUUUCAUACCAGAAAGUCCAAAAAUUGAGAGAAAUGCAAGAGAGGAGUUGCGCGAACUGAUGGAAGCUAGUGAAGCUGGCAUAGCUUACAUAUUGGGGCAUUCCUACGUCCGCGCCAAGCAAGGAUCUAGCUUCUUAAAGAGAAUAGUCAUAAAUUUUGGAUAUGACUUCUUGACAAGGAGUAGUAGACCCCCAUGCUAUGCAUUAACUGUACCUCAUGCUUCUACCAUAGAGGUAGGAAUGGUGUAUCAUGUAUAGAUUUUGUGUAUACAAGAGAAACAAAUAACAAUAAUCUCUACAUGUGUUUGUACUUUCUUCUCUAAGAAUACAAGACAAGUGCUAACAGUUAGCUUGAGUGAGAUUUGAAAAUGAGAAAUAUCUUCGUAAAAGCUCUCUAGUCCUGAUACCUUAUGAGUACUUUAAUUUCUAACUGGAUAAUCAACUCUGGCAUUAAGGACCCGUUAGGUCGGCGGUAUUAAUUAGUCUAGUUUAUGGAUUAAAAUUUAGUCUAUUUAAUUCAUAGUUUGGUUAUUUUAUUUAACUUAAUCCAUGAAUUAGUUAUGCAGCAUAUGUGGUCUUAUUUUAUUCCCAGAAAAUGAGGGACAACUAAUCCAAGGUUUAAUAAUUCUUGGAUAAGACCUCUAAAUGACUAAACUAUCCUCCUAUUCAUUUUCCUAAAUUUCUUUUGUAAUUUGAUUUCUUUAUUAUUUAUAUUGGAAUGGUUAUAAAUAUUCUUUUUAAUUCUCUAAAUCCAUUUAGUGUAAUUUGAUGAUUUCACUAAUAUAAUUUUUUCUCCUUUUUUUAUUCAAUGUAAUUAAUCACUUGAAUUAUUUGUCUUUUUUUUUAAAAAAAAAUAAGCUUUAGGUAUUUACAAUUUAAGUAGCCUUAAAUCUAUGUUAAGUUUGAGAUAUAUUUGACCAACAUAAAACUAAAAAUACAACGUGCUAUCAAGAAUUUCCGUAGUGGUACAUCACACCUCAAAAUUAGUAACAUUAUAUAUGUGUGUGUAUGCGUGUGUGUUUUAACUUAACUAGUUAAAUGAAAUAAAGAAUUCCAUUUUUUUUUAAAUAUUGUCCAAUGGUUAUCUACCUUGACCCAAUUACAUGAAUAGGAAGCUUUUUGUAGAGUUUUAAGAGCCUGUUUGACAUUGCUUUUGGGAGCUGGGAAGCACUUAUUUUGAGAAAAAAAACACUUUUUUGAAAAAAAUAGGUGUUUGGCAAACUUGUAAAACUGCUUUUAAAUAGAAGUAGAAACAGUUUUUCUGUUGUUGGGAAGAAGCUAAAAAUUUCUGCUUUUUAAAAAGAUAAAAUGACCUGGGAGGUCCUUGUAUUUUGUUCCGUUUGUCAGUUAGAUCCUUAUACUUAUGACUUUGUCAACUGAACUCUUAAACUCAUUGAAACAUGAUAUUUUAAACCCUUUUCUCAUUUGAUAUGUGUGUGUAGCACAAUCAUUUACAUGUGAAAUGCCAUGUCAAUUUGUAGGUCAUUUUCAAUGACAUAUAAGGAAUUAAAUAUUUUUUAAAAAAUAAAAAAUAUUCUGAAAAUUUUCAUUAUUAUGUUCUUCAAUAUUUUCUCACAAAUCACAAAUGAGGACUAAAUUUAUGCCAAACAGGUGUGAUUAUUCCUAUUGACUUGAAUUUUUACACUAAAAAUUCACAAAACACAAACCCAAUAACAUUCCAUCAUAAUUUUAAAUUAAUUUCAUAAAUUAACAAAAUCCAUUUGUUGUUCUUCAAGCCUAUUCAUGAAAAUUUUCAAUUUAUCAAUAUCCAUCAUCAUCCUUCACAUUAUCUCAUACAAAAUUAGAAAAAUACUUACAAAAUCAAAGUUUUGGAAAUGAAAAUCUGGCAGAAGAGCUUAGGCGGUAUGAUUUGCAGUAAAGAGCAAAAUUUUAAGGAAGCAGUUAGAAAUGGGUUUUGUUAGGUGGGGUGGUGUCACGACCCGAUUUCUCAAGUCAUGAUGGCACCUACUAUAACCCACCAGUAGGUAAGCCAACCCGUAACCCGGAACAACACGUAAUGGGUCUGAGGGUAGAAAAUAAACAAGAGUAGGCAAAUAACAAUAUACACAAGCGGAAGCAAACCAAAACAUAAAUACAAAUAAAGAUCCCUCCCAGAACCUGGAAGUCACUAGUACAGAGCUACUAACAAAAUGAGUACAAGUCCCAAAACUGGACAACUGAGACUGGACUGUCUCGAAAGGUAAAAGAUAAGUCUAUAUAUACAGAUGGAGACUGAAAUAGUACAAAACGUCGUGUGCUCACUCCCGUCUCCGGAUCAGUCUGCUCCAAGCUCGAUCAACGCUGGCUACUAGUGCCCGGACCUGCAUCACGAAAUAGAUGCAGAGCGUAGCAUGAGUACCAAAACAACCGGUACCCAGUAGGCAUCAUAGGCCGACUGAACUUGAAAAGUAAAGGCAAUAUGAAAAGAAGGAAUAACACAAACCGAAGUCAAGAACUAAAAUCCAACUAACAAGGGAAUGCACACGAGUGUACAAAGAACUAACUAAAGUAAUCUAUAAGCUAACUACACCUAACUGGGCCCCCAUAAGCCCAGAAGGUACACUCGUGCGCAAGUUAAAUAAAAACCCAAACGGACCCCCAUAAGCACGACGAGUACACAAAAUAACUAUAACUAAAGAGAAUUGCAUAAAAGAACCCAAGAACGAAGAACACGAAUCAGAACCUCAACCCUAAUUAGUAAAAUCUGACAGUACGGAGGCCGGACCUCGAACCGGAUGCUCACCAAAAGUACCUAAGUAACCAAUCACAAGUAACAAGUAUAAGAGGCCGGAACUCUAACCGGAUGCUCUAUAUAGGUAUCUGAGCAAUAGAGGCCGGACCUUAAACCGGAUGCUCUAUAUAAGUAUCUGGGAAAUAGAGGCCGAACCUUAAACCGGAUGCUCUAUAUAAGUAUCUGGGAAAUAGAGGCCGAACCUUAAACCGGAUGCUCUAUAUAAGUAUCUGGGAAAUAGAGGCCGAACCUUAAACCGGAUGCUCUAUAUAAGUAUCUGGGAAAUAGAGGCCGAACCUUAAACCGGAUGCUCUAUAUAAGUAUCUGGGAAAUAGAGGCCGAACCUUAAACCGGAUGCUCUAUAUAAGUAUCUGGGCGAUAGAGGCCGGACCUUAAACCGGAUGCUCUAUAUAAGUAUCUGGGCGAUAGAGGCCGGACCUUAAACCGGAUGCUCUAUAUAAGUAUCUGGAGGGUCCAUUAAUAACACAAAGCAUGCUCACAGUUACCCGAUAAUUCUCGAAAUAGGCCGAAAACAUGAUUUCUAAUCACCUAUGCAUGAUUCAAUAACUACCCAACCCAAAUCCCAACUAAUCAACAUGCAUUCACAUUCUCGAGCUCAAUCUAAGAGAGGGAAACCGUAGCCUACCUGUAGGCCAAUCACACGCGCUCCAAAAUCACUUCUCCGGAGCUUUCCCUUUCCGAACGUCCUCGAAACGCUGCCCCGCUAUCAAAAAUAGGAUCACAACGUUAUUACAGUCGUUUAGACACCAAAAUCACAACAAACGGAGACGGGUUAGUUUUGGAGUCAAAACGGGAAUCGUGGGACCCGCGCUGGAAAUUCUGAAAUUAACCCCACAAGUGGGUCCUAACAAGUUUCCCCAGCUCAUAUCCCAAAAUGGGACACAAUUCGGGGAUCGGGAACAACACACUACCAACAAACAACCAAAGCCCAAAUUUUCUCAAAAAUUAGAAAUGGACAACAGUUGAAUCAGUGUAUUUACCAGAAACUGGAGGUCUACAGUAAAAUGCGACAACACCACGACGUUCUCCUCGAAAAUCACUCAAGAUAGCCUAAAAAAUCACUGAAAUCGGACCUAAAAUGGCUGAGAAAACAAGUCUCAAAAUUUUCCAAAAUUAAGCUCACAAAAAGGGUGCAGCAGCAGGUAUUUGACAAAAAUUACCUCAAACGGGGACUCCAAAUCACUAUCCGAACUCACCAACACGUUGUCCUCGCAAAAUCUCACAACUUUACCUUUUGAAUCGCCCAAAUCGGUUGAGAGAUGAGAGAGUUAUGAGGGUUUGAAGUUUUGGAAAAUAUGUUGCUGUUUUUCUGCAUUUAUUGCAGAAAAUCUGCAAUUUCCCAAAAACUAAAAACUCCGACGGGGUUCUCCGAACUCAAUCGGAACCCCGUACACGCAAACGAGAUAUGCAAUCAUACCAUAUUCGAUAUUCCAGACUCAACGACGUAGUCAAAGUUUCCAUCAGAGGUCAUUUCGAUAAAAAGUGGGUCCCACUUCCAAAAGCCAUUUUAAGUCAAAACCCACAAAAUGGUUCGGAAAGAUAUCGAAAACCUCCAGACACAAAAGAAGGGUCAAUCUAGACCAAACUCGACAUUUUGGAGCUAACCACGCUGACGAAAUUCUCAUCUGAGCGCGUUUACUCAAAAUGUUGACCAAAGUCAAACUUAGGUUAAAUUUCAAAGGCUAAAACGCUUAAUCGCACCGACUCACACUGAAAACCUCGGGAGUCAUGUCGACCAUGCUACUAGCCUAAAAUGGCCCUUCCGGAGCUGAUGGAAUCGUCAGAAUUGGAUUCUAAUGUCAUCUUCUUGAACUUUUGAUCGAAAAUGAUUAUUCAAGGUUCAUAAGCACCAAAACACAAAAACUCGCACCAAGACCAAACGAACGACCAGGUGACCGAACUGUCAGUCCCAGCAAGUCAUAAAUGACUUGGGGUCGCUAUAGGAACGCUCUAAACGACACACAGAAGGCAAGACACAGAAAUGACCAUGAGGGUCAUUACAGGUGGGGUGGAGGGCUGACAUUAAGCCGAAGAAGAAGAAGUAGGUGGUGGUGGUGUUGGUUCCACAGAAUAAGGAGAAGGGUGGGCUGAAUGGUUUGGGAAGAAGAAAGUUGAGGGGGGUGGGGGUGGAGAGCUGGGAAAAGAGAGAAUUUUAAAGAAAGUUUUUUUCUCUUUUUUGUUUAAUUGUUUUUAAAAUAUUUUUAAUAUAAAAUAUUAUGUUCACUUGUUUUAAGAUGCGUGCAAUCACUUUUUUUUCAAAUCAGCAAUAUUAAUGUCACAUAAACUUGGUCAAUGGUUAGAGGUGCUUAAAAUAUUGUGUUUCAAUGAAUAUAAGGGUUCAGUUGGCAAAGUCGUGAGUAUAAGGGUCCAACUUACAAACAGAGUCAAGUACAAGGGCCUCCCAGGUCAUUCUGCCUUUUAAAAAAACAGAAGAAGAAAAUUAUUUUUUCAAGACUAUUCCAUAUACAUAUAUUUACUUAUAUAUGUCUCAUUAAUUAAUUAGCAUAUCUCAUAUGUUUGAUUAAGUUCUAUUCAAUGAUUUUAUUUUUUAUUUUUACAUAAUAAAUUUUUUAUUUUAUUUUACGUUUACGAAUUAUUAUUUUAUCUCUUAUAUUACGUAUUAUUUUACAGAAUUAGAAAACAAGAAGAAGGUAACAACAUAUUUUUGUAAGAUUAGAAAAAAAGAAAAAAAAACAAUUAAAGAUUUUAACCCUUCAAAAACUGUAUAAUAUUGAUUGAAAAUUUGAAUAUGAACAUUUUUAUUUGAUAAAAAUAAAAAAUUAAUUUAACUUUUUGUAAUAGAUGUUUAAACUAGUUUCUCUUUAUAAAAUAAUCUUAAUAUUAAAAGUACAUUAAUACUUUCCCUUAAUCAUAAUUUGACUCUCAAAAACACUUUUUAAAAAAGUUUAGUCAAAUACAAUUUGUUUAUAAAAAGCACUUUUCAAAUGAAUUAGUGAAACACAAAUUGCUUUUUUCCAAAAGCAAUUUUCUGAAAAGCUAUUUUAAAGAAGUGUUUAUGAAAAUAAACAGUUUUUAGCAUCAAUCUCAAACAGACUCUAAAUCAAUCUCAAGAUUAAUUGGAAAGUAAUGAACUAAAAACUUGAUAAAAGAUAAUCCUUGCAUUGUUAAUCCCUAAAUUACUAAUACACUCGUUACUAAAUGUGUUGUUUAAUCUUGCUUUAUUUAGCAAGAUCAGUUUUUCAACAGAAAAAAGGUAAAAAAAAAUGUCCUAAAAUUAUUUAAAAAUUAAAUAAAAAUGUUGUUUGGUCAAAAUAUUUUUGUUGUCAGUUGUUUGAUCUAAAAAUACUUAUGCUAUUACUUAACUGGAUUAAAAAAGUCCUUUUUCUAAAUAACUAUAUUGUCUUUUUAUUUCUAAACACGUUUCUUUCCUGGUAAAUAUUAUUUUUAAAGAUAAUUUUUUUCCUAAUAAAAUAGAAAAUAUUUUUGUUUCUUAAUGUUUUUUUUCAGAUUGAAGUAUGGAUAAAUGUUUGUCAAUAUAAUCCUUGAUUUUAAAAAUAAAAUGAAAAAAUUCUAAUUAACUUUAAAAUCAAGGAUCAUAUUAGGAAAUACUUGUCUACUUCAAUUCAGAAAAGAUUAAGAAAUAAAAAUAUUUUUUAUUUUACUAGAUUUUUUUUAUUGUUAUCUAUAUGAAAAUUGAUGGAGUUACAAUGAUCUUAACUAUAUAUAUUGCCUACAUUAUCAGUUAAAAAAAUACAUAAGGUUAUUUUAUUUUAAUUAAUAAAAUGAGAUUAAAAAGAAUAAAUACAAGGAAGAAUUUUCUACCUAUAAAUACUUAUACAUUAUCAGUUCUACCUCAUUAUAUCUUGUAAUUCAUGUAACCUUCAAGGUAUAGUUCUUUCAUUUAUUUACCUAUAUAAUUAUUACCCAUACAAUACAAGGAAGAAUUUUCUACCUAUAAAUACUGGCCGUCUUACUUUGUGUUGGGUAAAAGAGAAAAAUAUGAGAAGUAUUACAUUGUAUUGUAUUUAUAUUUUGAGGUUAGUGUGGUGAAAAAGUGAGAGUUGAGAUAAAGAAAAACAUUUGAAGUAUUCAACUAAUUACUAUACAAAAGAGAACUUUAUAUUGAAGGAAAGUAUUCUUUUUGUGGAGGUUUGUACUGGUCAACUAAUUCGAAGUUGAUUGAGUUAUACAAUGUUGUUGUAUCGUGGAGGAGAUAAGUCACGAAUAAUACUGCUGAAUCAGUAUAGAUUAUGCCGUCACAGGCUUGAAUCUUUUUAAAGAGAGCGAAAUAUCCACCCCUCAGCGUGAAUAUGUUUUUAUAUUUAUUUUAUUUUCAAAUACUAAUUAAUUGUAAUUAUGAUAUAUAUAUAUACACCAACACAAGAUGCCCAUUCCACUGUAUCCCAUGGCGUUUGGCCCAAAUGACCCACAAUUUAUCUUUUUUUCAUGUUCAGGUUUCAGAAGUGUUUUAAAAUAACAACUUUAUUCUAGAUGUAUAUAUCAAUUAUGUUAAGUACACUAGGUGACUUUGGCCAACAUAAUUUAUCCCUCGUGCUAAUAAUGAUUUUUGACAUCGUCCAAAUAACAUUCUUAAAUGAAAAUAAAACAAUUAUUAUUAAAAUAUAGUAAUCCAGGGAUCGAAUUUCACAGAGAGUGCGGUGAGAGACUUAUAAUUUGCGAAUGAAAUUUAGUCUAACGUCUAUUAUUUUUGUUGGGGUAUUAAAUGAGAAAUUAUUAACUAGGUUUUACUACUAUGCUUGUUAUCAAGAAUUUAAGACAAACAAAAGUUUGGGUUCUUGGAUAUAUCAGAAUUCAAACAAGCAAUUUAUCAUCAACUCAUCAGGUAUGCUCAUUAUGCAAAAUUAACGAAUCUAUUAGUCUUCUAAAGCUUUUCGGCCCAAUCAAGAGAACUUCACUUUGAAUUCUCGUCGUCACUUGGAUGUCGAAUUAAUUUGUUCAUCAUCAUAUGCCUCAGAUUAACUAUCUUAUCUCUAACUCAAGCUAUUAGAUGGGAAUUGAUAGCCCCAAAUCUCCGUUACUAAUUAUUUUUCUUAAUCUUAACUUCUAGUUAGAAUAUAGGCGAGUUCCUAAUAUUUGCAAUCAUUAAAAAAGUAAGUAAUAUUUAUGAAGAAACCUUGAUGUACAAUAAUCACCCUUCAUGUGAAGAUUUUAUUAUAACGAAUCUAUUAUCCUUAUUCUUACUUUAAGUUCCAUAAAUCUAGUUAUGAGAUUUAGCAAGUUAUAACUAGUUGCAAAUAAUAAUUGUAAUAACUAAAGAACAUUAAGAUGAAAGAAACCUUGAUUAAUGUAGGUCUUGCAAAAGUAUCUUCUUCGUACCAAAAUAAUCUUCUAUGAAAACAAUAAGUAAACCUAAGAACAAUUGUAGAGUAGUUCAUAGCCAAAAGUGAUAAAAACUAUAUUCUAAUGAUAAUGUGUUCCCCACAAAACAUCGUCCUUAUAAUCUAUUUAUAAUUGUAGAACGAAACCUAAAUAUCAUUGGAACUAGGUUUUGCCUUUGCAAAUCUCCGAUCUGUAAAAUAAGGGUGUGCGACCAAUAUUCAAAAUAAGGGUGUGCGACCAAUAUUCAUCACAGGGCAGAAGGCCCGCGCACCGAGGCAAGUCUAUCUCAAAAAAAAAUUGAUCUCUAAAUCUCAUUCGAUUUGGUGGGUGUUGCUGAGGCCAAUGCGUGGUGCGUAUCCCAUGCAUCAUACUCCUUUUCUUCAGUCUGUUUGACUGUGUGGUUAUACGAAGAAAUAGGCUAUAAACACAAAGAGGCUUAACUAAGAAAACUGCUCAUGUAGGCAUGCAUCACAAUUAUACGGUCAAAAAAAGUAUGUUAAUUAAACAAGAAAUGUCUUGAACACAUCCAACAAUUUCAAUACCAAGUUCAAAUUUUCACACACACAUGACAAAUUCUAGAUGUCUAAUAUACACGAAUACACAAAUGCUUACCACACAUGACACAUUAAUAAUUUUGAACAUAACUACCUAAGGCUCCAAUCUUCAGAACAUAAUCACAUUAAGUGACAUUAUACUCUUUUGUAUGAAUGAAUUCCUAUGAGAUCUAGAAAUUUCUACUUUUUAGAGUACCUAGAUUUAACUAGUCAUGAGUUUCUUCAUUCUAAUGCAUCUAACAAACAUAAUCCUAAAAAAAUCUAGUUCGAAAAUAAAAACUAGCCGAUUCAAUGAGACUAUCCUAAGAAAACACCAAAAAUAAAAAUUGAGGAAUCUAAAAUAAGUAUAACAUAAAUACAACAAAAUCUAACAUUUAUCGACACAUGCAAUAUAUAGUUACAAUCCAAAAACCAUCCAAAUAGAAAUCCAAACUCAAAACACAACAAUAAAAUAGAUACAACUCGACAAUGAAGACAAUACAAGAUAAUGAGAGAGGAACAAACCAAUAUGACAUCUAAAAAAUGCAAUACAAGAUAAAUAUAUUCCUCUAUCCCACACUUAAAAUCAUGAGUUUCUCUAGUGAUAAAAAAAAUACAAAGUAAUAGUGGGAAAGAGAGAAUAGUGGCGGAGCCAUAAUUUUCAUCAAGGGUGUUCAUACUUUAGGACAAGUAAAAAGAUAAACUUUCCUGCUCGGGAUUUUCCAUCACUUUUGUUCUCUUUUUUAACUUAAAAUGCGGAACUAAUUUUUUUUAAAAUAAAACGUCCAAGGCUAGGGCUCAAACCCAAGCCUCCAAGGCAAAUUUGAACAACCUUAAUCACUAGACUAUCUUUCUUUACUAUGUCAAGGGUGUUCAACAAUUAGUAUAUAUCCAAAAAUAUUACUCCCUCCGUCCUAUUUUAUGUGAGAUAGUUUGACUUGGCACGAAGUUUAAGAAAGAAAAGAAGGCUUUUAAAACUUGUGGUCCAAAAUGAAUGAUAUAAUUUGUGUGGCUGUAAAUCAUUUCAUUAAAGGUAAAAUAUACAUUUUAUAGUUAAAUUGUUACUUAAUAUAUAAAUGUGUCAUUCUUGUUUAGACUGACUAAAGAGGAAAAUAAGUCACAUAAAUUGGGAGAGGGAAUAAUAUUUAACAUAUAUACUCGAAAUUUUUUUUGACGAAAAUUGUUCAUCUAACCAGGUGUAGCUCCGCCCCUGAGUGAGAGAGAAAGUAAAACUCCCUGGUCUAGUCGUACUUUGUAUCAGGGCCGAGCUCCCAACUUCCAACUCAGAGCCAUCCUCGUCCGCAUGUGCUAAUUUGAAAUUUGUGACAAUACCUACCUCACUUUGAAGACCAAACUUGAUUUCACACAUUCUUCAAGUGAUUUGUCAAAUCAGAUUCACAAGAACAAUCUACUAAGGCAGAUAUUAAAAAGGCAUACCAAGAUUUUCUUUCCCUUUCAUUCCUUUUGUAUAAACCCUCAAUAUGCUUUUUGUUUCUCUCCCAUAAUUAUUAUUACUAUCUAUACAACACAAAAUAAUUUUGGCUUUGUCCUCCCAUAACGCCAUCUGAAAAUUCCAAAUAGCCCUCACGGUAGAUUUCUCCUUUUGGAUGAACAAGGCGCUACGGGGUCGUUUGGUAGCUGCUUAGAGUUAUGCACGUAUUCGUAACGUAGGUAUUAUAUAAGAGUGAAUCUAUGUAUUAUUUUAUGCAUGUAUUAGUAAUGUAGGGAUUACUUAUGAGUGAACCUAUAUAUUAUAUUAUGCAGAUAUUAAUUAUGUAGGGAUUAGUUAUAUAUUCAUGUAUUAGUUAUUCUAUCUUCUAUCCCCGCAUAAAAUAAUACAUAGAUUUCCUCACAACUUCUACAUGUAUUGGUUAUGCAGGUUUCUAAAUUAUCUACCAAACAUUGUAUUAAUUUUAUACACGAAUAACUUACUUUCUAUCUACCUUUCAAACUUAUAUAUGUUAUACGGAAAUUAAUACAUGUACCACUUAUUUCUUAUUCAGCUACCAACAACCUAUGAAUCAAACCUUCUGUGAUAUAUAUAUAUAUAUAUAUAUAUAUAUAUAAUGGAUGUCUUUUGAUUCCAUUGGCUUAUUUGGUAAGAAAUUGCAGCAUGUGUUGCGGUUUUAAAUUGAGAAAUUGGCAAGAACAUAGAACACUCAAUAUAAUUGGCACAAAAUAGCCCAAAAGAAUUUGGCAAAAUAUGGCCUUAUAACAAUUGAUACAAAGUAGCCAGAAUGAUGUCUAAUUUGAAGGAUUGAUUUUUUAACCAACCGGUACUAAUUAAUUAAUAUAAUUAGCAUAUUGUCUCUAAUUAGCCUAUUAAAAAGGUUAUUGCUACUUUUAAGGAAGGAAAAAGAAAAGUAUCCCUUAAUUAACCCAUUAACACGAAAAGAAAAAUUUACAUGGAUGAGUAUCUUUUAAUAAAUAAUUACUGAUUUAGGAAUACUUUUUAUUUAUUACCAUUUAUAGCAAUACAAUAGCAAUACUAUAAUAAAUAUGUAAUAUGUAUUAAAAGUGAAUUGUCAUGACCCAAGCCUACAUCCUAGACGUGGCCGGCACUCGAGAACCAUUGUUGGCCCCCAAGCGAACCCUCAUCCUAGGUAACUAUAAGCGGAAGACUAACUCAAGCAUACAUAAGCAUCAAAUUGAAAGAAACGUUUAAAAACAAUUUACUGAACAUAGUAUGAAACAUAAGUUUUAAAUAAAAUAUUUGAAAUUGAGAGCUUCUCCAAAACUGUCUAUCUAUGAAGCAUAUACUAUACAAAGAUGAGUGUCGGGACAAGACUCACAACUACUCAAAAUGUUACUAAUACUAACAACUCACAAAACUGCUGUCUUCCGAAAGCAAGGAGGUCUAACUCAAAACCUGACGAGUAGAUGAAAGUGAUCUCAACGGGCUCUUGUUGAGGAUCUAAGUACAUGUAUCUACAUCAUUAAAAGAUGCAGGUCGAAUGACAUCAGUACAUUGAAUGUACAAUUAUGUAAUAUAGUUGAAUAACAAAUAACUGAAAGAAAGGACUGAAAUAGAUAACAAGACUCAAGCUAAAUGUAAAGGAAUAAAGUAGUUAAAUCAUUUAAAGCUUUACAAAAUACUUUCUCAUCUCCGAACUCAACAUAAUAAGUGAUAUAUAUAUAAAUACACUUUAACUGUAUCGAGAGAUUCUCUAAUCGACAACCAUCACUAUAAGCUACGUGAUGAUACAACGUCUCACCCACUCUGCCAGAAUUGUCAUAUACCUUGUUGGUGUAUAGAAAUCCUCAACUAAGUAGCCUCAACUAAGUGGAUCCACUAAGUUAUACUUAAAAAUCAAUAAGGAUUCAUCCAAAAAGUAUGACCCUUUACCCAUGUUGGCAGACAUGGUUUAUGGAGGUUGUGAGUUGUUUGAAGUCUCCCCAUAAUCGGUGCUCAAUACUACUCCCAAUAAUAUAUACUCAUGCUCAUAUGUUUAAAAACAUAAUUCUUCCUCUUGUUUGAGAUAAUUCCUCAAAGUACCCUCUUAAAAGAGGUAACUACUAUUAAAAUAUCUUUUGAACUCAUAACUCAUUUAGAAAUCUCAAUUUCUCUUUUAUCAAUGUAAAAAUUGAUACCUCUGAGAAUACAUAGUCCCCUUAUACUCUUAUUCAAUUCAUACUUGAAAACUCUGAACUCAAGUGUUGGCUUUAAAAAAAGUUUUUCAAAAUUCAUAACUCAAAAUAGUGUUCAUGUUGAAAUGUAGACAUGAACAAAUCAAAUCAAGAAUCUCAAUAACAAUAUAGAAACUCUAUAAUUAGGAAUGGAAUUUGUAAAAAAAACAUGAACUCAACAACUCAAAAUCAACUCAUCUCAAGAAUACUCAAAUCUAGGGAAAGAAUCCUAGAUUACUCUUUUACUGCUCUGAAAGUAGAUGUAGAGCAUGAGGACGAACUAGUCCAACACUAUGAUAGUCUUACAUACCUGAAAGAACAAUGUUCUUCAAGAAUCUUGAAGAAGAACUUUAUUUGAAGCCUUGAAACCCUAGCUCGAAGGAGAACAAUCAAUAAAACCUUUCUUGAGAUUCUUGAAUUAGUUUCUUGAAAUCUCUAUGACCAAGAAUUAUGAUUUUAAUUAGUGAUUCAUAAUUGUAUGGAGUAAUUUGAGUUGGAAAUAAUGAAAUUCUUGGAGAAGGACUUACCUUAAAGAAGAAUCUUGAAAAAGAUUGAAAAAAUCUUGAAUGGAAUCUUCUACUUUGAUAUUUCCUUAGGGUUUUACCCUAGGGUUUGAAAGAGAAGAGAACGAUAUAAAAGAUGAAAAUCUGAUUGUUUUGAGCCUUAUAUUAGUCAAGAAAUUCGUUUAGGAUUUUUUUUGGAGGUAAAAAGACAAAAAAACCCUUUUUAAUGUUUUCCCGUCGGCUAAUUCAAAACUGCACUACAUCAGUUACUAAAAUUGUCAUAACUUUUUACUCAAAAAUUAGAUUGAUGCGAAAUUGGUGGCAUUGUAAAGUAGAGUCAAAUACCUUUAAUUUUAUAUGUUAUGAGCCACGUAACUCUUUAUAUUCUAAGAGAUAUGGUCAUUUUAAGUUGACCCAAGGAGAAUCUUAAAUCAAAACUUAAUCGGUAAGGAAACUUUCAUCUCAACUUUGUGCUAAGAGUUUUUAGUGACCUUAAUUUAUAUCCAAAAUCAUUUCCAUACUAAAGAAUUUACCUUUACAAAUAUGAGAAAUUUAGGAAUAACUCGAUAAGACCUUAUGUGUAAAUAAAUAAUAGUUCGGGCCUUAGCUUAAAAAAAUUCAGGGUGUUACAAUAUCUCCCCUUUGGGAUUAUUCGUCAUCGAAUAACGGCAAAAUCACAAAUUACUUAACAAAAGGUGAUUAUUCUAAUUUAAAUCAGGAGAUUCGGGUUCUAUACCUCUAUGAGAAAUCUCAUCCCGAGAAUACUUCUCCCUAUAACUACAUUCAACCAACCUCGACUCUUAAUCAAGAACCACUUAGUGCAUCAUGCAUUCAUCCACAUGCUACCAACACCACAUUAAAGCCUAGUACUAUAACCACUCAUGGACUCCUAUUAACCAGUCCUUAUAAAAAUUUCUCAUUCUCUCGUCACUUCUACCAACAUAACUUUUAUGCAUCACUACCAGGAAUUUACUAAUUACUCAUCGUAAGACCUUAUCUCCUUCUUCCUCCAUAUUUAUAACCUUAUGUGGAAUAAACACACCAUCACUAUCACAAUAAGAAAUAACAAUCCUCUUCUCUAUCAUCACACAACUACAAUCAUCAACACCACUCUCAAAACUAAAAAGGAUUACUGAAAGUACUUUAGGGCGAAAGAUCAUAAGCACAAUUCAUUCGAGAAUUCUGAUAGAAGAAUAUGCAUGACAUAACAUUAUGUUGCUAGCCAUUGAGAGUAAUUCAUGGAUUUGUUAGACUGAACAUAUUGUGAGACAUGAUUGCUUAUAUGAAUAGGUUCAUAGCAUGAGACUGAUAUCCAUAGCUUUAUGGAGUAAGAUUGAGAUCAAUGGGCUAAAGUCUUUUCCCCUCAUUCUGAAAACUGAGCAUAGAUGUGAAUCUCUCUGGAGUGUAUGUGCAUAGGUCAUGAGCACAAUUCUGAUAUAAGAAACAUCUGCAUGAUGUUGAAAUGACUGAACUUUGAAGAAUAUGCUAGAGUAUGAAUGGAUUGAUGUACCUCUACAACUCUUUCGGAAGACAUAACUAUCUCAUUCUCAAUACUUGGCAUGAUUUUUCAUCUUAUCAUCUCCCCCUUAGGUCUAAAACUGACACUUGAAAAUAAUGAACCUAUUCUCUCAUCUUUAAACUGGUCUACAUUCCCUUUAAUACUCGAAAAGGCUUAUCUCAUAGCAACAAAACUCUCCAUAAGAAGGUACUAAGACUCUUUCUAAAACCUCUUUCGAAGAUGCUUCUAUUAACCUCUUCUUAUUGGCUUAUAAGGCCGUUUCAUUUAACUCUUAAGGAGAAAAAAAUUAAUGCUUACCUCAGCCUAUUCCACAUUGACAGCUCAAAUAUACUAUCUAGGCACACAUGAAAAAUUAUUAACUUAAUUGGAACAUCGUCUUUGGUUAUAUAAAGUCUCGGGUACACCUCUUAAUGCUCUUGUUACUCUUAUGACUUAGCUACAAUUCACUGCCAUCAUCUAAAAGUUAGGAUCUCUCACUUGUACCACUCAUAUUCAUUGCAGCUAACAUCUCAAUUCCUCACCUACUCGAUGUCAAGUCUACCAGAUCAUAUCUCAAUACUAACAUCAUCACCCUCAUGUUGUCAUUCUUUUGAUCACGACGCUCAUCUCAAAUUCAAGCUUAAUGUUUAUUACUAAAGGUGGAUAUCAAUAUGAUUACGCACUUACUAUACUAACUUACAACUACUAGAUAAAAAUUAAGAAUCAAUCGCUCACUAAGACCUUAUGACAAGUAGUCAAUUUAUAUCUCUCAGUCUGCAUCCUUACAUAUUACUGCCACAUUCCACUUCACAACUUAAGUACUAUUUACUCAUUCACUAUACAUCAUUGCCUAAUUAAUUCUAUAACACUUUGAAUAUUAUGGAAUCUCCCUAAAAAUCAUAAGCCUAGCUUAGUUCUAUAACCUCAUGAUAUUCCUUCUUUUCUAUCCAACACCUACACUUGGUCGUUACCAACAUAAUGACACAUUGAAAGAAACUAUUUUUUUGGUUAAAGUAUACUCUAAAUCAUCCAUACUAGUAACUCUUACUAUACCUUACCUUCUAUCAUGAAAUCUACACAAACUCAUCACUUCUUAGUCUACCCAUAAGGGAAAACUCCUCAUUAAUAACUUACAAGGUGCUUGACUACAAUAACAUAAUUUGUCUCAUCACUAUCUCCCUUUCUUAGAUUACUGAACCUCUGCAUGCAUUCUUCUAAUUUAAGGGCAUCUUCACUACUACUAUCAUAAUCUCGCAACCUACACUAUCUUUUCGAGUGAAAAUACUACUCAAGCUCUAAAACAUACUUCAUCAUAAGGGUCUCAGUUGAAACAAGGUUUAGAGAAAAAAGUCUAGCAAUACAUCUCGCUUUUAGCUUGAAUGCGUGAUUCAUAUGAAUAAGAGUGCAUUCUUUUGAAUCUCAACACUUAAACUCACUCACAAAAUUCUCUCAAGCCCCUCUGCAGUCUCAUGACUUUCUCAAGGUUUUUGCUAAGAGUUACUUAUCGAUAAGGAUCUGGCUUUGCUUUUCAACUACCUUAAGUAUGAGGGGUAGUCGAAUGGAUCUGAGAAACACACGAGUUUGAAUGAGUUCCUUAUGACAUAAUUCUAUUGCACAAUUUGGAGUAUGAAAGAAGGGAAACUUUUUUGAAAUAUUUGUACUCCCUUAUUUAUAGAAGUGGGGCCCUCACAACCAUAAAUAAGAUCCUACUUGACACACCUUCAUAGACACCUAGGAUACUUGAACUCUGUGCUCUAAUACAAAGUUUGUCAUGAUCUGAACCUACACCCUCGAUGUGGCCGGCACUCGAGAACCAUUGCGGGCCCCCAAUGGAACCCUCAUCUUGGCUGACUAUAAGUAAAAAACUAACUCAAGCAUGCAUAAGCAUCAAAUUGAAAGAAAUGUUUAAAAACAGUUUACUGAAUCUCAAAAUUUCACUGAAUAUACUGAGUAUGAAACAUAAGUUUUAAAUAAAAUAUCUAAAAUUAAGAGACUCUCCAAAACUUUUUAUCUAUGAAGCCUCUACUAUACAAAGAUGAGUGUCGGGACAAGACCCAAAACUACUCAAAAGGUUACUAAUACUAACAACUCAUAAAAUUGUUGUCCUCCGGGAGCAAGAGGUCUUACUCAAAAGCUGACGAGUAGAUGAAAGUGAUCUCAACGGGCUCUUGUUGAGGAUCUGAUCCUAAUAACCUCUAUCUGCAUCAUUAAAAGAUGCAGGUUGAAUGGCAUCAGUACAUUGAAUGUACGAGUAUGUAAUAUAGUUGAAUAACAAAUAACUUAAAUAAAGGACUGAAAUAAAUAACAAUGUACUCAAGCUGAAUGUAAAGAAAUAAAGGAGUUAAAUCAUUUAAAGAUUUACAAAAUACUUUCUCAUCUCUGAACUAAACAUAAUAAAUGAUAUAUAAAAAUACACUUUAACUCUAUUGGCGAUUCUCUAACCAACAACCAUCACUAUGAGCUACGUGAUGAUACAACGUCUCGCCCACGCUGCCAAAACUGUUCUAUACCUUGUCGGGGUAUAGAACUCCUCAACUAAGUGGAUCCACUAAGUUAUACUUAAAAAUCAAUAAGGAUUCAUCCAAAAAGUAUGACCCUUUACCCAUGUUGGCAUACAUGGUUUAUAGAGGCUGUGAGUUGUCUGAAGUCUCCCUAUAACCGGUGCUCAAUGCUACUCCCAAUAAUAUAUAUACUCAUGCUCAUAUGUUUAAAAACAUAACUCUUCCUCUGNNNNNNNNNNNNNNNNNNNNNNNNNNNNNNNNNNNNNNNNNNNNNNNNNNNNNNNNNNNNNNNNNNNNNNNNNNNNNNNNNNNNNNNNNNNNNNNNNNNNNNNNNNNNNNNNNNNNNNNNNNNNNNNNNNNNNNNNNNNNNNNNNNNNNNNNNNNNNNNNNNNNNNNNNNNNNNNNNNNNNNNNNNNNNNNNNNNNNNNNNNNNNNNNNNNNNNNNNNNNNNNNNNNNNNNNNNNNNNNNNNNNNNNNNNNNNNNNNNNNNNNNNNNNNNNNNNNNNNNNNNNNNNNNNNNNNNNNNNNNNNNNNNNNNNNNNNNNNNNNNNNNNNNNNNNNNNNNNNNNNNNNNNNNNNNNNNNNNNNNNNNNNNNNNNNNNNNNNNNNNNNNNNNNNNNNNNNNNNNNNNNNNNNNNNNNNNNNNAUUGGUUCUCGAGUGUCGGUCACGUCCAGAGUGUAGGCUCGGGUCGUGACAAAUUAGUCCAACACUAUGAUAGCUUUACAUACCUCGAACAACCAGGUUCUUGAAGAAUCUUGAAGAAGAACUUGAUUAGAAGCCUUGAAACCCUAGCUUGAAGGUAAACAAUCAAGAAAACGUUUCUUGAGAUUCUUGAAUUAGUUUAUUGAAAUAUCUAUGACCAAGAAUUAUGAUUUUCAUUAGUGAUUCAUAAUUGUAUGAAAGAAUUUGAGUUGGAAAGAAUGAAAUUCUUGGAGAAGGACUUGCUUUGAAGAAGAAUCUUGAAAAAUAUUGAAAGAAUCUUAAAAAAUUUGAAAGAAUCUUGAUUGGAGUCUUCUACUUUGAUUUUUCCUUAGGGUUUGAGAGAGAAGAGUGUUGACACCCAAAUUUGGACCUCCACAAUAUAGAUUAAUCACCGAACUUCUUAAAUUCUAAACGAUUUGAAAUAAUUAGUUUUUAUAAAGUUUAAAAUAUUUUUCAAGUUACUUUUAAUAAAUUUUAUCUUUUUUAUAAUUUUUAAGUAGCAUAUAUGUUUUAUAUAAUUUUGUAUAUAAUUAGUAUAUUUUAUAUGCAUUCGAAACCCAUCUCAAAAAAGAUUUAAUUUUAGUAAGUAUUUUAUUAAAUUAGGGGAUAAGGGUUUGAAAAAUACCCCAACUUUGGUCGGAUUAGUUGUUGCGAUACUAAAAUUUAAUGAGGACCUAUUACCUCCCUAGACUAUUUAAUAUCGUAUUUUAAACAUAUAUUUGCCCACGUGGACAUAAAAAAUAAUGCAAAAUUAUAAAUAGUAAUGUGUCCACGUGAACAUAUAUAUACCUUUAAAAUACACUAUUAAAUAGUUCAGGGGGUAAAAAAUACGGUAUUAAAUAGUCUAGAGAGGUAAUAGGUCCUUAUGAAAGUUUAGUAUCGCAACAGCAAAUCCGACCAAAGUUGGGGUAUUUUUCAGUCCUUUAUCCCUUAAAUUAGUUUAGUUUAAAUUAUGGUUAUAAUUUUGAAUCAUUAGUUUACAAUUAAGUUAAUUAUUUUUAUUUCGUUAAUAUUAAGAAGCUCGUUAAUUAAUUAAUAUUAAUUCAUCUUAUUUAGGAUUUAACCGAAUUUGUUAAUUUAACUCAAUUCAACUAUUUCUUAAACUCCAAGAUCCAACCUUUUUCCCUACCCUCACCUUAAACCCAUCAAAAUACCAAUUUUGGGCCAAUUUAAAUUAGGCCCAUUAUUCAGCAACCCAAUUCCUUCAAUUCAAUUUCUAACCCAAACCCAUCAGAAAUACCCAACCCAAUACAAUACCAAUACAAUUCAUACAGCAAUCCAAACGUACAUACAAUACAAUAGUAAAGAGCAAGACCCCACAAACAAUUCUUUACAACGUUAACAACAACUUCCAAACGUCAACGGCAACAACCCACAAUCACACGACGUCAAAAUUCACGGAGAACACGGCAAACACACGGCGUGAGAGCAGAUCGCGUACUCAGUACUAUUUUCUCGUCGUCUUCCUCGCUCCCUCGACAAUCCGUACGUGAACAGUGCCAGGUGGAGUGAUCUCAUCACCUCUCUCGUCCUAGCGUCGAAAUCAAAUGGCUCAUGUUGCUUAGCCGUUGCAAUUUGUUACAAAUUGGUGAAUUUUCGUACUGUUUUAUUCCUUAUCCUUUAAGGAUUUUGAAUUUUGAAUUUGGAAUUUGGAAUUUGGAAUUGGCCCAAUUUCCAUUCUGUUUUCCCCCUCAUUUCGAACCCUGGUUUCCCCGUAUAAAUUCCCCCUCUUUUUCAUUUGUUUGGGGUUGGGGAAAAGUUGGGAAAAAAGUGGAAAAAAAUAGACGUUGGAGAGGCAGAAAAUAUACAGAGAGAAAUGGAGUCGAUAUAAGUGAAAGGACACAUAGAAAUGCAUAGUCUUUGAGAGAAAAUAGACUCUAAAAUCAACAAAUAUUAUAAAGAGUAUUCAGUUUUCAGCUUCUUCUAUCGAACACGACUUUCCCGCUGCUCGUUGGAACUUUUGAAGUUUGUGACUGGUGAUGGAAGAGCUCGUCCUUGCUCAUUCAAUCUCGGUUCUGCUGCCCGAAAGAAAGUAAUGCUUUCUCCUUUAUAAGAUUCUCCUCACCUUUUUUUUCUCUGUCUCAAAAUGAUAUAUUCGAUAUCGUAAAAGCCUUGUGAUGUAGCUGAUUUAGUGUUAUUUUGGUAUGGUGUAUUUGUUCUUAAUCUAUUUCAGUGAUUCGACCCUAAGGUCGAGUUAACCCCAUUUUAUAUAUUUAUCAUUGUUGCUUCCCUACUUAAAUGUUGGAAUUGUCGUGGCUAUUUUGCUUUGUGUGCACUCAUUUUGAUGUUGUCGAAUCUGCAUUUUCUUGUUUUAGUUGUCUCUUAGCGUUAAGAAGCUCUUUCAUCUUGCUACUGCAAUGUUGAUUCAGAAUCUCGAAGAUGGUUAAUAUAGAGAUUGAAUGUUGUUGUAUCUAUUGUCCAUUAGAUACAACAACUCGUUCUACUCUUUUUCAGUUUUUGUGAUUGUCCUGUUCGUUAGCAUAUUUUGUUUGAGUUGGCUCUCAUCUUCAUGCUAUUUAAAGUUUCUUAUAUCAAAAGUCGAUCGCGUUUUAUGAUAAGUGUGACUUUUGCUGCUUCUAAGUAAAGGGUCAAAUCCAAUCCUUUUGUAUCCGUGGUUUGUUGUUUUGGCAUGAUAUUAUCUUAAUCACCAGUCCAAGUUCAUUUUCUGUAUCGAUCAGUUUAGAUUUUUCUGUUGUGGGUAUUCGUUUAAAAUUUGUUCAAUGACUGACCCGCCUGAACUUGUUUAUUUGAUUGGAAUUAGUCUGUUAUGUUUAGAAAGUUAUCCAUGAAAAGUUAAGUUUGGUUAGCAUUUUGUCUUCUCUGCUUACUGUAAUGGUUUCCUAACCCCCUUUCUUAUCCUUACAAGCUUGAUCUAAAUGCUUUUAAUAUUAAAAUAUGCACAGAGUGUUGCUUUGCUCAUUUCUCUGCCUUAUUUGGGUUAAUAUUUUGGUUAAGAAUGAAUCACUGUUUGUAAUUGCAUCAGCAUGGAAUCCAAGUUUCUGGUUUUCUUCUUCUAGAUUUUAGUUUGUUAGAGUUUCAUCUUUGAAAAUUAGUUGAAGCAUGUUUCCUUUUGAUAUCAAUCUCAAUGUAUAAUACGAUAGCCUCUUGACUACCUGUAAGAGCUUCUAGUGACUCAUUUAAUUGUUUCCCUAUCUUUAUCUUUGUCUAGAUAAUUAGGCAUAAGCCCUUUAUUCAUUUUAACAUUGCUAAUCCAAUUGCUUAUCUGUAAUCAUCAUUUUCGUAUUUUAUCUUAUCAUAUGGGGAGUUAGUUUAAUUCUAAGAGAAGGAUUCUUUAAAUAUUAUAUGUUUUCCUUGGUCACCUUUGCAUAAUUUGACCGUGAACUAGUCACAUGCAUAUUUGCCUUAUUUCAUUUUUGUGUGUCUUAGUGGUAGUAUAUAGAUUUAAGGUGUGCUCUAUUUCUAAUUUACAUUCCUGCUUUGUUCUUUUCUAUGCAUGAAUCGGCUCCUCCCGAGUCUUUGGAGACCCUUUUUCCUUGCAUUUUUUAGUAUCGAGUCAUCAUUUGGUGUUUGAGGGUGAAAGGGAAACUGAUAUAUAGGUUCCUGAAGCAGGCAGGUCCUGAAAACAGGUUGAUAUACAACUAUUAUACACUGAUAUACGAGUUGAGUGCAGCGUAUAUAGGCCCUAAACCGAUUUAUAGGUGUUCAAAAGCUGAUUUAGGUUGUAUACAUUUGGAUACAACCCAAAUACACGAAAUUGGGUCGAAAUACAUGUCGUAUACAGCCGUAUGUGUUUGAUGUAUACACAGAUUUAAGUGUGAAAAAGGAGGCAAAAAUGGGCCCAAAAAGGUCCAAAAAAGUGGCCCAGCAACAGAAUUUUAAUUGAAUAGGUCCAAAAUCAUGUUGUGAAUUUUUAGAAUAUGACAGGUUCAACAGAUUUGGGGAAUUUGGGUCUUUGGCCCAAAUUCAAUAUUCCUUUCUUUGCUCUUAUUUAUUUGUUAUUGUAUUUGACUAACAUUUUAUUUGGACUACGGUUUGACUUAAUUAAUUUCCCAAAGAUAGUAAUUUCUCUUUUUAUAUAAAAAUUUAAAAUAUUUAUAUUUUAUACUUAGCUUUAUUUUAUAAUUAUUGGCCUUGCAAUUUGAAUUAUUUCCUUUAGAAUGGUCCCCCUUACUUUAUUUCCCCCUUAAAAAUAAUUAAUAAUAAAAAUUGAAUUUCCUUUACUUAGUUAAAAUUUAGAAAAGCUUAUUUAAAAAGUCAUUUUAGUCAAAUCGCCGGUCAACUGAAAGUUAGCGGACAUUCCGAGGGCCUAUCACCUUUUUGGAAUGUACAUUGAACUCGAACCCUUUUAAUUUCAAUUGAUUUUAAUCUGAUUUAAUCUUUUGAAAUAACCUUGAGUUUUUUUUCUUCUUGAUUUUUACUAAAAAAUUAAGUGGCGACUUUGUUUCUUUUGGAAAUUCAAUUUCUCUUAAAUCAUUAGUUUAAUCGAUUUUUCAAAAACGUAGUCAUUUUUAUUUUAUUUUUUGAGUAAGACUGAAAUGACGACUCUGCUGGGGACUUAAUUAAGUUCUAACCAUAAGAUUUGACUAUUUGACUAAUUGUUAUUAAUUACUGAAUUGUUUAUCUGUGCGUAAUGUGUUUAAAUUACUAUAACUGUCAUUGCAUUCAUGACAUUUUCCAACUUGUAUGUGUAGUAUAUUAAGGACGAUUUCUGCAUAAUCGCAGCCGAACUUUUUAUACUCGACCCUUUUCCGGAAGAAUCGACAAUUUAUUGGUAUGUCAUGCGUCCAAUGGUUGUCGUGAGUUUCAACCUAAGUUGUCCACUUGAGUUCUCGAUCUUUCAAAAUCCACUCUUAGUCAAGUAGCGUAGAGAGAAACCAAAUCCCUAAUUUAGCGCAUUUUAACUAAGUUGACCCAACAGCCAAAGCGUGUUGGGCCCAUUAGGAGUCCACCUUGUGUCUAUUUGGCCCAUUGGUCAAUAAAAAGACAAUCAUACUUAUCUGUUUAAAUUUGAAUGAUGUAUACGUCAUUUGGCAAACCAUUAUCUCUUGGGUUAGGGAGUUAGAAUAUAGCUUUAAUCUAAUUGAAGAAGGAGCAAGUUAUCAUUACAAACAAAAGCGUGGACAUCCGGAGAUGACAAAAAAUCAAGAACAAAGGACCUUCCAUGGAAGCUUAGUUUAGGAUUGUACCUCUGCGCGAGACUGGUUAUUUUGUAUCCUUUUUUCCCUAUUAUGUAUCCCCAUUCAUUUUAUUCGUAAAACUUGUAUAAAUUUGGGUUUUGGGGCAAUGGAAUGUUUCAAAUGACGUUAUACAUUCAUCGAAUCAUUAGGCCUACCCUUGGCAUAAAAGGGUCACAUAUUUGUUUAGAGCGCGCAAUAUCUGUUUAUGUGUUAUAACUGCUUGUGUGAAUAUGUUGCUUUAUUUGAAGAUGUUCUAGCCUACUCAUUCUCGGGAAAAAUAUAUUUUGUAGAACCACUUAAGCACAAAUAUUAAGUCACUAUCGAAAGUACGUCCAAAUACUCUUCGAGUCUUUAGUUUCUCAACAAAAUUCGAACUUUAUUUUUCACAUCUUACUUUCUCAUCUCAGAAAAAAAAAGAA
Molecule: long non-coding RNA, 65014 nt
Filed under: Solanum tuberosum (potato)
Lineage: Eukaryota; Viridiplantae; Streptophyta; Magnoliopsida; Solanales; Solanaceae
Description: long non-coding RNA (STUB_LNC004610)
Source: RNAcentral